GGUGCUUUGUGUUUUAAUAUAAAUAAAGAGUCCCAAAAAUCUAACAAGAGGGGAUACUCAUUUUACACCAUCAGAUUUUGAGAGAGGGGUGUAACCCUAAUUUUGUUCUUCUCUCGUUCUCUCUUUUACAGACACCAGCCGCCCCCUCCCAAGCUCUCAUCUCUCUCAUUUCUCCAAUAAUGGUUGCCGCCCAGCCCCUCUAUAUUCCCUCUCUCUAAAAGUUUGAUGCCGCCGCCGCUUUCCGGCGAGCUUGGCUGGCCGGCAAACAACUAGUGCAAACCCCAUCGCCGACCCUACUAUUCAUGUCACCUCCUCUCUCCGUCUCUGUCUCUUCAUGCGUAUAACACACAGAUCUAGAGAAAAUAUACUCGUCGGAGGAAUGAAACUCCACUGAAAGUGGCGGAUCUGGUGUUUGGCCGGAGUCUUAGCCGGAAAAUUGGGUCUGGCAGCCUAUACACGUCCCGGUAGUUGCUCACUGCCUCUUUGACGAAGAUUCAUCUCAUCCGUUGCGUCAACACUAGUGACUUAGCUAUUGUUAUUCAUCGUCGAGUACUUUUGACAUUCUACGGGUGGUUCAGGUAUCAAUACUUUGUUGUGUUACUUUAAUGCAUAUUCAUUUCAUUAGGUGUCAUUCUAAUGCCUUUGUUGUCAGAACUUUUUCAGUUAUGUUAAGCUUGAAUUGACCAUUUAGUUCGCUUGGUCAUUACUAACCUAAAUGCUUGAUUUUGUCUCUAUUCAUUUGGUUAUUCCAUCAAUAAGCAACAUUAAUUACGUAAGAAGAGUUUGCUGGAAAUCUAUUAUUGGCCAUCCAUGUUGGACACUAUCAUGGCUUUUUCUUAGAUUAUUGUUGUUUUCACAUUGCUGUGUGAUUUCAAUGUUAUUGAGCAGAUGCUACAUUGAUUAUGCUUUGGCCGAUGAGAAAAUAACCCCGAGUUAUUGAGGCCACGACCCUUGGAAUAACCCUCGGACCGGGUCCGAAAUAACGAGGUGAUGAUGAUAAAUAUCAGAAAAAGAAAAAAAACGAGAACACAAACCAACAACCUAUAGUUGGCGAUACGGUUGGCCACCGGAGUUUCUACCGAGGCGGUUCCCGUUUUCAUGUCUUGGUGUAUAUCGGAUAUUACAUGUAUCUGAUCCUCCUAUAUUAUCUUUUAAACUAUUUUCCAAAACUAUUUUCAAAAACAAUUUCUCACAAAACAUUUUUUCAAAUAAAAGCAUUUCAGAAAAUAAAUUAGUCUAUUAUUUACCUAAUAUUUUACUAAUAAUUUUACUUCUCUUGUCUUGCGAGGUACUAUCAUACGGAGUUACUCUCGGAAGAUGACACUCGAAGAUGAAAAGACAAAUCCCAUCAAAGUUUCCCGCUUCGUACUUCUCGUUCUCGGAUGUAUUAAAAAAUACAAGUAUUGUAAUGACCCGACCGAUCGUUCUGAGAAUUAAUGUCCCGAUCGGCGGCAUAAGGUCCUGAGCAGCUUCGUAUUAUGUAUAUUGUCUUGCGUGCGUGGUUGAAUUCAGUUACAGGAUGAUUCAGAGUGAAUUAGAACACUUAGUCCCUAAAAGUGGAAUCUUAAGUCUUAGGAUUUUGACAAUAAUUGGAACUGUGUGAAGACAACUCCGGAAUGGAGUUUCACCGGCUCUGUUAUCUCCGUUGGGAGAUUUUAGACUUAGGUGUGUGUCCGGAUUGUGUUUUGGAGGUCUGUAGCUCAUUUAGGCUUGAAAAGGCGAAAGUCGAAUUUUUGGAGAUUUUGACCGGUAGUGGACUUUUUGAUAUCGGGGUCGGAAUCCGAUUUCAGAAGUUGGNNNNNNNNNNNNNNNNNNAGAAAUUUUAAAGUUUCAAUUUCAUUAAGUUUGAAUCGGAGGGUGAUUCGGGUUUUUAGCGUUGUUUGAUAUGAUUUGAGGGCUCAACUAAGUUCAUAUGGUGUUUUAGGACUUGUUGGUAUGUUUGUUUGAAGUCCCGAGGGCCUCGGGUGAGUUUCAGAUGCUUAACAGAUCCAAAUUUGGACUUGUGUAGUUGUUGAAGCUUUCAAGCUUCUGGUGUAAUCGCACCUGCGGUGGGGUGGCCGCAGGUGCGGACUCUCACGUGCUGAAGGGAUCUUGCAGAUGCGGCCCUGGUCUGGUUAACCGGUGGUCACAAGUGCGACAAAAGAUGCGCAGAAGCGGAGCCGCUCCUGCGGAGAAGGGAUCGUAGAAGCGGAAAGCGAGCUGAGUGAGGAUUCCGUAGAAGCGGACAAAAAUUCGCAGGCGCGCACUCGUAGGUGCGACCUUAUGCUCGCAUAAGUGGACCACAGGACGUAAGUCAUUUCCGCACCUGCGAUGGAAUUUCCGCAGGUGCGACUAGAAGCCUGCAGAAGCAAAAAUCGCUGGGCAGAAAAGGGCUAAGUGCGAUGGUUGAUUUCAUUCUCCAAUUUUGGACCUAGAGAGCUCGGAUUGAGGCAAAAUUUCGAGGGAUUUUCAGACGAAGCUUGUGGGUAACGAUUCUUAACUCUUUUAUGGGUAUAUCUCAUUAAUCUAUAGUUGAAUUCAUCAUUUAAUUAAGGAAUUUGGUUGAGCAAUUUGGGAAAAGAGAUGGAAAGUUCUUCAAAUAAAUUUUUGAGUUUUGAUUCGGAUUUUGAUAUCGGAUUUGGAUAAUUUUGGUACGAGUGAACUCAUGGUUGAUUGUGUAUUAGUAUUUUGUGAUUUUUAUCCGUUUCCAAGACAUGGGCCCGAGUCGACCUUUUGGGCCGAAUUUUCGAUUCUUUACUAAAGUCGUAGAUUUAUUAUUUAAAUUAGUUUCUCGUAAUUUUAUUCAUGAUAUGUAAUUGUGUUUGGCUAGAUUUGGGCCAUUCAGAGUCGGAUAAUCGAGGAAAGGGCAUUCUUACUGAUUGAUUGAGCUUGGUUCGAGGUAAGUAUCUUGCCUAACUUCAUGUGGGGAACUACCCCUUAGGAUUUGAGUCUUCUAUGCUAAUUGUAGUCUGUGUACGCGAGGUGACAAGAACAUGAUCAAACUUAUUUAUGGAAAGUUGGCCUUUUAGGGUUCUUAGGUCCUUGUAUUCACUGAUUAUGCAGUUGUUAUGUUAUGAAUACGUCUCUUAAUUACUAGUUUUACCUCUACCUGCUUUAAUUAGAAUUAAUUGCUUCAUGAUUCGCCCUUGAUGCAUAUUUGACUCAUCUGUGCCUUAACUGAAAUUGUUAUCUCUUCUAUUGCCAUGCUAUCUUUCCCCUAACUGCUUAUCUUUAUUUGAAGUUAUAAUUAUCUCUUUUGUAAUUGUUCAUCCUUAAUUGAGGCUAUGAUUAUCUUUCUGCUGCUUAUCCCUAAUUGAAUUUGUUGUAUCUCUUUCUUAAUUUGCCAACCUUAAAACGAAGUUAGAUAUCUUAUAUUUUAGUUGACUUGUCCUUAUUUAGAAUUAUUCGCCUUGUGUUAGCUCCCUCGUUAUUGAAUUGUACAUUGUGUACCGUUGUUGCAUAAUAUGUCCUUUCUUGUUUAGCUGUUCUUAUUAUGACUACCAUUCUCCAUUUUGGCCCCUCCUUGUGAAUUAAUUCCUCUGUUCCUUUGAGUUCUAGAAUUUCUGAGUUGAUUUAUUUGCCGUACUCUUGUAUUAGUGUUAUUGUUGAUGUUGUACUUGUUGUUUUUGCAUAUUUACUUUGGGACUACGAGGCGGUACCUCGGAAGAUCCUCCUUUCUUACAUAUUUACUUUGGGACUACGAGGCGGUACCUCGGGAGAUCCCCCUGUCUUGCAUAUUUACUUUUGGGACUACGAGGCGGUACCUCAGGAGAUCCCCUGUUGAGCAUUUACUUUUGGGACUACGAGACGAUAUCUCGGGAGUGCCUUUUGUUGACAUCUCUUUGUUAUGGGGUUGCACGAGGUUUCUGCAGUGCUAUUAUUAUUAUUGAUAUUUGCACAUGCGGCGUGACAAGGUGGGAUACAUAUAUGUGAGUUGCACAUGUGGCGAGACAAGGUGGGAACAUUAUUAUGCACGUGUGGCGAGAUAAGGCGGGCAUUUACUUUACCAUUGCACACGUGGCGAGACAAUGUGGGCUAUGUCAAGGAUUGAUUUGUGAUGGCAUGGAGGAAUUCUUGUUGUUGAUAUUUGUGUAGUGGUACACUUAUCUGUGUGAGCUUUAUCUUGUGAAAGUUGUGAGAAAAUAUUCUACGUGAUGUCCGUCCUAUUCCUUAUGCUCACUAGAUGGUAUGAACUAUGUUAGGACAUUUGCACAAACAUGCACGUAGUUAAGCACUCUUAUCGGAUAAGAGGUUUCCUUGAUAUUGUUGAGUAUAGAUGCAUACCGUUGCUUACUUGCCUUCUAUGUGAUAAUGGCACUAUUUGGCACGCGAGUCGUCAGUGCGGUUAUGUGGUGUAAUGAGGGCACAUGAUGCCAAGUGUUAGGGUUUAGGUAUUGAGGCACGUGAGUUGUAAUUUGUCCGAGGUUCAGUACCUCGUGGAGUUUAUUGACAAAAACCCAGUGUGGAAGCUGUCGUAUUGUUGAGUUGCUACUUGUCCUUUCUUUAUCUGUGAUUAUCGGACUUAGGCUGUGUUUCCGUUCAUUCUUCUAUGUCAUUAUUAUGGUGUUCCGCUGAUAGUGUUUUUUUUCCUUCCUUAUUGCAAUUACCGUAUUAAUUGCCACUUCGCGUAGUCUUUAUGUAGAUAUCAUACUCUGUUGUUUCUAUACUUAUACUUGUUCAGGUUAUUUAGUCCAGUAGGUGUCUUGACUGUACCUCGUCACUACUCCACUGAGGUUAGUCUUUAUACUUACUGGGAACCGCCGUGGUGUACUCGUACUAUACUUCCGCACAUUUUUGUGCAGAUCCAGGCAUUUUCAAAGUCAGUUGAUCAUUAGCUAGUUGUGCGGAUUGUUGCUGUGAAGACUCAAGAUAAACCUGAUGCUGCGUUCGCAGGCUUCGGAGUCACCUUAUGAUUUGUAUUCACACUGUUUACUUUAUUUAAAACAUUUGUAUUUAGAAAAUUGUAACAAACUCUGUAGAGCUUAUGACUUGUACUACCGGUUUUGGAAAUUAUAAAUUUUAUAGAGAUUUCUAUUUCAAAAGUUGUUAGAUGUUAUUUAUUAUUGUUGUUAUUCAGUAAAUGUUAGGCUUACCUAGCCCCUAAGACUUGGUGCCAUCACGAUAUCCAACGAAGGGAAAAUUGGGUCGUGGCAAGUAUAGUAAAAAUUGUAGAUAGAUAUCAUAUCUAAUUACUUAGUUAUGCUUGAUUGAUAUUACCCGCUUCGUACUUUUCGAUCCCGAAUGUACUAAAUAAUACAAGUAUAGUAAAAAUUGUAGAUAGAUGUCAUAUCUAAUUACUUAGUUAUGCUUUCUUGAUAUUUGUUUACGUGUGACAACACUUAGGAAAUUACAUCUAGUUAAUAAUCAAGGUAACUUGCUGUCGCGGCCCCAAAUCUCCUUCGUAGGAUGUCAUGACAGUACCUAGUCUCUAAGACUAUGUAAGCCUAACAAUAUGCGAAAAUAUCGAAUAAAAACAUAAAAUUUCAAAACUUCAACAAUUUUACCAAUAGAUUAUAAGCUCAAUACGUACAAUGUUCUAAAACCCGGUGAGAUAUAAGUCACAAGCUCUAGAUACAAUGCUUAACAAUCCUAUACAUCACUGUCUACAAAAAUAUAAAGGAACAAGAAAAGAAUAGGAUAGAAGGGGACUCCGAGGCUUGCGGACGCGGGCAACUGUACCUUGAAGUCUCCAGAGCAGCAAAACAGCGCGCUAAUAUCGAGGUUGAUAGGAUAUAUCUGGAUCUGCACAAAAUUAUGUGCAGAAGCGUAGUAUGAGAACACCACAACGGUACCCAUUAAGUGCCAAACCUAACCUCGGUAGAGUAGUAUCGAGGUGAGGUCAAGGCCCUACUGCUGAAAAUAAGAACAAGGUAGGAGAUAUAAUGAUAUAAUGAAAAUGACAGGGAAGUGAACAAUGAAGAAUUUACGGGAAAUAACAACACGGAAUCAAGAAAAGCUAAUACAACACGAAAGGAAAAUAAGAAUUUUACAUGUUAGGGAAAACAAGAACUAAACAAUACAGCAUAUAAAGAAUAUCAACAGGGUACUCCCGAGGUAUCGUCUCGUAGUCCCAAAUCAUAAAAACAAAUCACAAUCUUUCCUUAUAUCACCCUGGGAGCCGUUAUAUUUGGUUUUUGAAAAUUAUUUUCCCCAAAUAGCAUUCCGCGUUUUAGCCCACCUUAUCACACCGCAUGGCUUCUAGUAGUUCCCCUACUAGCCAUGCGUAUCAAGCCCACCUUAUCUUACCGCAUGCUUUUCAAUACCCUGACCUUAUACCACCGCACGCUUAUCAAUAAUCACAAACAGCACGACAGAAAACUCAUGCAACAAUAACAACCACAUGACAGAAACCUCGUGCAAACAAUAACAACCGCACGGCAAAAACCUGGUGCAACAAUCAAACCCGCACUUCAACAAUAACACGAAAGCCAAAACACAACAACUAAAUAAAUGAUAUUUCAAGGAUAGCAAUUUAAAGUAAAGAAUUUCCACAGUUAAGAAGUGAAUACGAAAAUCAAGAAAAAUAAGUAAUUCAACUAAACAUGUGAUACAAGUUACAAAUAGGAGAUAAGACAAGUAGACAUGUGAAAUUAGGCUAAACAUGAUGACUGUAACGUGCUAAAAUAACUCAAUUAAGGAAUGAAAAAGAAACUACGUAGAAAAGAUCGGAAUUUCAACAUUUAGCCCGUGUACGCACUCGUCACCUUGCGUACACGGCCUUCUCAUAUCACAAAUAACAAAUCCUAAGAGGAAUUUCCCUCACACAAGGUUAGACAAGUCACUUACCUCAAACCACGCCAAUCAGUCAAUUAGAAGGUCUUCCCCUCGAUUUUCCAACUCCGAACGGCUCGAAUCUAGAAAAAACAAUUUCAUACUAUAAAUAUAACUAUAGGAAACUAAUUUAAAUAAUGAAAUAAUGAUCUUAGCUGAGAAUUGAAAAAUCGCUCCAAAACGUCGACCCGGGCCCAUGUCUCGGAACCCGACCAAAAUUAUAAAAUCCGCACACCCAUCGAUAUCGAGUCCAACAAUACAAGAAUUAUCCAAAUUCGACAUCAUUUAACCCUUCAAAACCCAAAAACUUGGUCUAAGAACUUCUACACUAUUUUCCCAAUUUUCCACCCCAAAUCUCUAAUUACAUGAUGAAAUCAAUGAUAGAUUAGUGGAAUUUAAUCAAAAACGAGUUAAGAAUCCUUACCCCAACACUUCCUCUGAAAAUAUCUCAAAAUAUCGCCUUAAUCCGAGCUCUCAAAGUCCAAAUGUGAAAUAAGAGAAUGAACCCUCGUUUUGAAAUUUAAGUCUACUGCCCAGUUGUUUACACAUCGCGAUCGCGUAAAUCCUCCGCGAUCACGUCCGAUAAUUUUUUGUCCAUCUCAACUUAACCAUUCGCGAUCGCGCAAAGGCACACGCGAACGCAGAUAACAGCAAUGCCACAACAUUGCGUUCACAUCACAAGCUACGCGAUCGCGUAGCACAACUGCCUCAUGCCCCAGCUUUGCCAAUUCUUCUACGCGAACGCGAACUCCUCCACGCGUUCGCGAUUAACUGCAAGCCAAACCUCUGUGAUCGCAUCCUUCUCUCCGAAAACGCGUAGAGAAAUUCAGACCAUUGAAACUCCUUCGCGAUCGCGGUUCAAACCACGUGAUCGUAUAGAAGGAAACCAGAAGCACCAGAUUCAGCAAUCCUAAGUGUUCCGAAAUGCGUCGAACAUUGUUCGAAUUACAUCCGAGGUCCCCGAGACGUCAACCAAACAUACCAACAAGUCCUAAAAUAUCAUACAAACAUGCUCGAAACAUCAAAUCACAUAAAACAACCCUAAAAUCACGAAUCACACCCCAAUUCAAGCUUUAUAAACUUAUAAAAUUUUAACUUCUAAAUCCGAUGCUGAACCCUAUCAAAUCAAGUCCGAUUGACCUUAGAUUUUACACACACUAUUGACAUUAUAGACCUAUUCCAACUUCCGAAAUCGAAAUCCAACCCCGAUAUCAAAAAGUUUACUCCCUGUCAAACUUCCCAAAAUUCCACCAAUUUCCAACUUUUGCCAAUUAACGCCGAAAUGAUCUACGGACCUCCAAAUCAACAUUCGGACAUGAUCAUUAGACCAAGAUCACCCUACGGAGCUAUUGAAACCGUCAAAACUCAAUUCCGGAGUUGUCUUCACACAAGUCUAACUACGCUCAACUCCUACGACUUAAACUUCCAAUUUAGGGACUAUGUGUCCCAUUCCACUCUGAAACUCUCCCGAAUCUGACACCAAGUGUCCCAGCAAGUCACAUAACCACAAAAUGAAAUAAAGGAAGCAAUAAUUAGGGGAUCGAGGCUAAUACUUUCAAAACGACCGAUCGGGUCGUUACAUCCUAUCCCUCAUAAAACAAACAUUCAUCCUCGAACGAGUAUAGAGACAUACCUGAAGAGGUGAAAAGAUGAGCAUAACGGCUACGUAUAUCAUGCUCAGUCUCCCAAGGUCCUUCCUCGACUAGCUGACCCCGCCACUGGACCUUAACUGAAGCAAUAUUCUUCGAGCUCAACUUUCCAACCUGCUUGUCCAAAAUGGCAACCGGCUCCUCAACAUAAGAUAGAUCCGUGUCCAACUGGAGUGAGCUGAAAUCUAACACAUGUGAUGGAUCGAUGUGAUACUUCUGGAGCAUAGAAACAUGGAACACUGGAUGGACUGCAGCUAGAGUCGGUGGUAGUGCAAGUCUGAAGGCCACCUCUCCAACCCUCUCAAAAAUCUCAAAAGGUCCGAUAUACCUAGGGCUCACCUUGCCCUUCUUCCCGAACCUCAUAACACCCUUCAUGGACGAAACCCGGAGCAAGACUCGCUCCUCAACCAUGAAUGCAACAUCGCAAACCUUCCGAUCGGCAAAACUCUUCUGUCUAGAUUGGGCUGUAUGAAGUCGAUCCUGAAUCAAUUUAAUCUUUUCCAAAGCAUCCUGAAUCAAGUCUGUACCCAAUAGCCGAGCCUCACCCUGCUCAAACCAACCCACCAGAAACCGGCACCGCCUACCAUACAAAGCCUCGUACGGGGCCAUCUGAAUGCUCGAUUGGUAGCUGUUGUUGUAGGGAAACUCCACAAGCGGCAAAAACUUAUACCAAGAACCCCCAAACUCCAUCACACACGCACAAAGCAUAUCCUCUAAUAGCUGAAUAGUGCGCUCGGAUUGUCCGUCCGUCUGAGGGGGAAAUGCUGUACUCAACUCCACUCGAGUACCUAACUCAUGCUGUAUGGCUCUCCAGAACUGCAAUGUAAACUGCGUACCCCGGUCAGAGAUGAUAGAUACUGGCGCGCCAUGAAGCCUGACAAUCUCGCGAAUAUAAACUCGAGCUAGCUGCUCAGAGGAAUAAAUAAUCACCACUGUAAUAAAAUGAGCCGACUUGAUCAACCUAUCUACAAUCAGCCAAACUGCAUCAAACUUUCUCUGAGUCCGUGGGAGUCCAACAUCAAAAUCCAUAGUGAUCCGCUCCCAUUUCCACUCUGGGAUCUCUAGCUUUUGAAGCAAUCCACCUAGCCGUUGAUGCUCAUACUUCAUCUGCUAACAAUUUAGGCAUCGAGAUACAUACUCCACUAUGUCCUUAUUCAUUCUCCUCCACGAAUAAUGCUGCCUCAGAUCCUGAUACAUCUUCCCGGCACCUGGAUGAAUGGAGUACCGCGAACUGUGAGCCUCCUCGAGAAUCAACUCACCCAAGCCAUCUACAUUGGGCACACAUAGCCUGCCAUGCAUCUGUAAUACACUGUCAUCUCCAAUAGUGACCUCCUUGGCAUCGCCGUGCUAAACCGUGUCCUUGAGGAUAUGCAGAUGGGGGUCGCCAUACUGACGCUAUCUGAUACGAUCAAAAAGACAAGACCGAGAAAUCAUACAAUCCAAAACUCGGCUCUGCUCAGAAAUAUCCAAUCUAAGAAACUAGUUGGCCAAGGCUUGAACAUCCAAGGCUAAUGGCCUCUCUGCUAUCGGUAGAUAUGCUAAGCUGCCCAAACUCUCCGCCUUGCGACUCAAGUCAUCGACCACCACAUUGGCCUUUCUGGGAUGAUAUAGAAUGGUGAUAUCAUAGUCCUUAAGAAACUCUAACCACCUCCGUUGCCGCAAGUUAAGAUCUUUCUGUUUGAACAGAUAUUGUAGACUCCGGUGAUCAGUGUAGACCUCACAAGGGACACCGUACAAAUAGUGACGCCAGAUCUUCAAGGAAUGUACAAUAGCUAAUAACUCGAGGUCGUGGACAGGAUAGUUCUUCUCAUGCACCUUUAUCUGUCUACACAUGUAGGCAAUCACUCUACCAUCCUGCAUCAACACCGCGCUGAGACCAAUGCGCAACGCAUCAUAAUACACAGUAUAAGACCCUGAACCUGUAGGCAAUACCAACACUGGGGAUGUAGUCAAAGCAGUCUUGAACUUUUGAAAGCUCUCCUCACACUCCUCGGUCCACCUGAACAUAGCACUCUUCUGGGUCAGCCUGGUCAUAGGUGUGAGCACGUAAGUUUUUCCCUAAGUAUAAAUCACUCCUAAAAGAUUCAAGAAAUAAAUUUUUUCAAUCAUUUUGAUUUUUGUAGAAAUUCUAAAGAUUUUUCCUUCUUUGUUUGUUUGCAUUUUUAGAUUAAUUGCAUUAUUAGGGGGGCAUUUUAAAUCAUAAAACUACCAAAAAUACUUUUGAUUUCAUUCAUUGAAUUCUAAUUGCAUUUUAGGAUUUCAUUACAUUGUUAAAUGCAUUAGUUAAAUAUCUAAAAAUCACAAAAAAUGCAUUCUUAGGUUAGUUAAUUAAUUAGGUCAUUAGUCAAUCAAUAGGUAAAAUAGAUAAAUAAUUUAGCCAUACAAAUUGGAUUAACCUACAAUUAGAGUUUAAAGUGGCUAACUUUACGAAAAAUCUAAUAAAGAAGGAAAAGAAUGAAAAGGGGUUAUUAGGCUUCACAUUCGAACUGGGCAAAGAAAAAUUGAAUGGCCCAAUUGCCUUAAUUCCUCCCCAAACCCUUUCCCAAACCCGAUCCAUAAAAUCCGAUCCAUCACCUACAAUAAAUCCCCUCAGAAGAACAUUCACCCCCUCAUCUGAAAGAAAAACCCUAGUCGCCCCUAAUCCUUUCAUCCUCUCAAGUCAGCUUCCCCAUCUCUCACCUCACUCUCACCUUUAUUCAUUCUCCUCUCCUCACUCCCACAGAUAUCUCUCAUAAAACAAAGAUAAAAAAAGGGGUUCUGGAUUUUUUUUAAAAAAAACCAAAAAUUCUCAUAAACAAAAAAAAAAAAUCAAAAAAGGGGAAUUCGAAGUUGGUUUCCAGUUCCUACUCAAUUGGUGCUUGUUUUUCUGGGUUUGGGAAGAUGUUGAGCUUGAAGAGCUGUUGUUUACUGCUUGGAUUUGUUUGUCUCGAGUUGCUGAAUUUCAUUUCUACAACUUCAGACCUUUAUUUGAUUGAGUUCAUUCGAUUUCUACUAUCAGGUAUGGGAUCUUCAUCUGUUAUCCUUCAUUUCGAGUUUAGGAAUAAAAUCUGAGUUGUUCAUGUUCAGUUUGCGAUUGAUCUUCUAGAUAUGGUCUGUUUAGUUUCCAAAUCUACCUAAUUCUCCUUCGUUGAUUAAUAUCUGUGUCUAUAAAACAUAUUUCAAUUAAAUGUUAAGUAAUUAUUUAUUAAGUUGAUACGGUUUGUUGAAAGAAUCCACCUCCUAAAAUCCAUAUUCAUGUUUAAGGUGAGCUUACAAGAUUAAACUAAUUCCAUUUUUUUGUAUUUAGCUGUUUGAUUAAUGAUAGUUGUUUCCUUGUGAAUUGAGAAUCUGUUGGGGAAAUGAAAGCAUGCGGCCUAAGGAAAUCCAUUUUUCAUGAAAUUUAGGGUAACUAGGGCCUGAUCUAUUUGUGAAAAUGAGAAGAGUCCAUGACUCUUCAAGAUACUGGGCCAAGUGGGCUUGAAGUUGUUCAGCUUUUUUUGAAUAUUAUCUACAUGGGCCUGACCAGGUCCCAUGUGAUCAGAACUGAAUCUGUUGUGUAGUCUUGACCACAAUUGAAUAGCUUAAAUGCCUAUGACUCAAAGUCGUUUGUAAUUAACAUUUCCUGUUCCUCAUUAACUCUCCUUACGUGACGAUGACUAAUUUAGGAUAUAGAGAGUGAAAUACUUGUUGACUUCAUUGAUAAUUAGGGGAAGGUUUGGAUUUGGAUCAACAGAGCGUACAUGGGAAAUCGGUUACUGGCAGCCCGUUAGAGCAAAAUAAAGUAAUCAUAUUAGCUCAAUGAGGAUCAGCUACAAUCGUGAAAGUAUUUUUAUAAUCCCACAUAGGUAACAAAAGGUAUGGUUACGCUCAAACAGAUGAAUUCUAUAACUUUUGGCCUCACAAUAAUCUCAAAGAUUAGGAAAGUAGUUCAAAUGCGCUAGUUGCUUUAGGCACAAUUAAUAAAUAAAAUUAUUGUGACUAUGGGUACGGUUGCCUUGGUAUGGUCAUGAUACGUAAAUCCCAACUCAAGUGCGUAUUUCAUGCGACUUGAUCACAACUUCAAACAAUUAAAAUAAGCACAUUGUAAAUCACGAAUACGUUUCACGUGGCGUGAUUUGCGAUGUGUAUAAAGUAGCAAGUGCGCGACAUCACGACUUGUUCAAAUAAAUUCCAUAAUUGUUUAAAAUAAUUAAAAGCGGUAUAGAAGCGGUAACGCAUAAACGGUUUUAAACAUGUAAUAAUUCAUAUAAUUAAGCCAAAUAUUAAUUGUUAAGAGAAUUCUUUACCCGGUUUUCUAUGUUCACGGACCAUAAAUAGAGUCAAUUUUCUCGAUUUGGAAUUUUAAAAUAAACCGAUGAUUGGGACACCAUAAUAAUUAUUCCAAGUAUAGACUCUAAUUAAAUAAAUAAUCUCAUUUCGAAUAACGUCACUUUAAUUGGAAAACCUCCCUUAUCUUCGAAAAAAAGGAGGUGUGACAGCUCUGGCGACUCUACUGGGGAUUGAACCCAGAAUCUCUGGUUCAGGGUUUAGAAUUCGAAGAUGACUUUUAUACUUGGCUUUUGUUUAUUUUCUAAUCUUACGUGUUUCGCCUAAUAUGCUAAUUAUUGCUCUUUACCACUUUGAUAUUGUCGUGAACUGUAUAUAAAACUGUUACGACACCCUUCUUCUCUCUGAGUCUUCUAAAUCUUCUAGGAAGCGUGCGCUUCGCGUGGCUUCUUUUCUAUUAGAGUCAUACCUCAAAUUUUAGAACGAGGAUCGGACAAGUUGCAAAGCCGGUGAAACUUCUGUAUUUUCGGUACAAUGCCCCCUCCCCCCUCCCCCGGCUCGAGUUGUCCGCUCAGAUACACACCCCAGGAAUUAAACCUAGAAUAACAUAGCCUCAUGCCGGAUGCCUAGCAGGAAUAUUUGUUUGCAUCACGUGCAUUGACUUUGGGGACUCAACACAGGGGUUGAAUCCGUCUAGGACAGGUGUACCCAAUAUAAAAGACGUAUUUUACGUGCUACUUGUGCAUAUGUUUGUUUCGGCUUGCAUGUUAACUGACUUCUAGAAUAGGGAAAGAAAAUCAAGAAAAAAUCAAGAGUGAGGUAGGAGAGAGAAAAUUUACCCGGUUCUGAAAAAUCCAGGUAUUUGAAAAAUCCUAAAACUCUGCCGAAAUUUUGAAAAAAAAGGGAAAAAGAAAAGUCAUUUCAAAAUGAGCCAAUGUUUUCAAAAAGUCAUAUUUUUCUGUUGUGUCAACACUGACCGAACUACGCGGGUCUGAUUCUCACCGAAUGUGAGAUACGUAGGCAAACCUUAUCGGUUCUGGCCCCAAUAUUUAAAAAUCUAAAAAUAUUUUCCUUUAAUUCCUUCUUUAGAAGUCUUUUCUUAGAAAAUCCCAAAUAAAAAAAAAGAUUUUAAACCCAAAAUAUUUUUCGUUCUUUUUAGAAGUUUUUCAUUCGAGAAAAUAAAUAAAUAAAUCAAAUCAAAAUCCAAAAAUAUGUUUUUCUUUCUUUAGAAGUCUUUCUCCCAAAAAUUUAAAAAAUAAAAAAAAUAAAAUAAUUUUAAAUCAAAAUCCAAAAUAUUAUCUUUCUUCUUUAGAAGUCGUUCUUUUGGAAAUUCAAAAGCAAAAAUAUCAAAAUCCAAAAAUAUUUUUUUUUUGUUCUUUAGAAGUCUUUUCUUUCAAAAAUUCCCCAAAGAACAAAUCAAAAUCCAAGAAUAUUUUCUUUCUUCUUUAAAAAGCCUUAUUUUCAAAAACAUCCCAAAGAAUAAAUAAAAAAUAAAAAAUAAAAAAUAAAAAAAAGAGCUAGCUUAUAUACUUUAUUUCCCUAAACUACCUUAUAAUUUGAUUCAUACGGCGUCAUGAUAAAUAGGCAACUCCCAUCGGAUUCGAUCAUUGCCAUUAAAUAAACCGAGUGAAAGAAAAAAAGAGAAGAAAGAAAAAGAAAAAAAAAGUGUGACAAAAAUAACAGAGAAAAACAAAGAGCAAAAAACAACAAAAAGAGAAAGAAAAAGAAAUCAAGAUAUGAAAAAAAAUGAAUGAAAGGAAAGAGUUACAGAGUGGAAAAGAGCUAGUGAAAGAUGGGAUGAAGCACGUAACCGUUCAAACCCAUGGUAGAAACGUUUAACUAUUUAGGUGCAUUGCAUCCCUACGUACGAUUUUCUACAUGUUAAGAUGUUUCAAAUCUAACAAGGUUGUUGUGCGUGCAUUUAGCCAGGUUUUUUUCAGGUAGUUGGUUUUGUUGGUAAUCUUGCUUCUCACCCCUAUUUUUCAAGAUCCAAAGGAAAGGUUCCAAUGUCCUCAGAGAGCAAUCUCCGCAUUAUUAAUCCUAACGAUAGCCUUGAACCGGCUAUUCCACUGCCAGAAUCAGCAACUGCUUAAGAAAAUAGGAUGUUGCGUCUCCGCAUGUUCGAAAUGUGGGACGCCUGGUCUAAAGGUAGGGAACCACCGAUUGCAAUUCCUGGGUUCCCUGGGUUGAUCCCUAGGUCAAGUGAGGCCACCAACGUCAUUGUGCCCAACCUAUUCAUCCCGUGCGGAUACCCUCCAAUGCCAUCUAAUGGUCCUGGCAUGUUUUCUGUGGUUCACCCCCAGGCAUCGGAUUCAAGGGCACCUCCAACAAUGUUCUCUAUAGCACCAGUCUGCACCACAACACAAUCAACUAUACCAGAGCCAUAUGUUUAGCCUCUGACAUUCACCUUUGAGGGUCCACAGUUUCUACCAGAAAUGACAUAUGUGACCCCAUACUCAUUUACUCAACCUCCGCAAUGUGACUUCUCGGUUCGGCAAGAAAAGGUUGUCAAGAAUCCCGAGCUAGAGGAAAUGACUCGGAAGAUGAAGAGCUUGGAACAAAGCUUAAAAAACAUUCAAGGCUUAAGCGGCCAAAAGAGUGUCGCGUACUCUGAUCUGUGUAUGUUCCUUUAUAUGCGCUUGCUGGCAGGUUUCAAAAGUACGACAGUCAUGGAGACCCGAUCGCUCAUCUGAAAUGAUAUUGUAACCAGUUGAGGGGCAUUGGUGGAAAAGAGGAGUUGUUAAUGGCCUAUUUUGGAGAAAGUCUCACCGGAAUUGCUUCCGAAUGGUACAUGGAUCAAAAAAUUACCCAUUGGCAUGUGUGGGUCAAUUUGGCCCGAGAUUUUGUCUGUCAGUUCCAGUAUAAUGUGGACAUGGCUCCCGACAGAAACUUUUUGUCUAAUUUUAAAAAGAAAAUCACGAAAAUUUUUCGUGAAUAUGCUAUCAAAUGGCGCGAGCAAGCCGCCAGGGAGCCUCUAAUAGACGAAGCAGAAAUGGUAAGGGUCUUCCUACAGGCCCAAAAGGUGGAUUACUUCCAGAAUAUGAUGUCCGCUAUGGGCAAGCCAUUUUCUAAAGCUAUCAAGAUCGGGGAGGUGGUAGAGAACGGUCUGAAAACUGGCCGGAUAUUAAGUCAAGCCGCUUUGAAAACUAUAUCACAAGUCAUCCAGAAUGGCUCAGGGGUUUGUCCAAUCGCAAAAAGAGGGAGGAGGGAGCCAUGAUGGCUUCGAGUUCAAGAAGGCCUCACCGAUCAUUUGACCGCUCUUAUAUGCCACCAAGAACACCACAACACUAUUUCCCACAUCAAGAUGCAGCUUAUGCCGUGGCACCGCCUCACUAUGCGGUGAUGAAUGCCCAACCUAACACACGACCACAACAGCACUACAACCAAGCCCGAGCUCCACCUCCUAAAAAAAACCAUCUCUACCAAGCUCCAUAUAAUCCGCGCCCAUCACAAAAUGCACACCAACAUAACCAUGCCCUCAUGAGCCUCCCAGGAGAAGCAAUAUCACCCUUAUUGGUGAAUCUAACUCAAGUCUGCUUCAAAAGUUAAUCCAACUGGGUCUAUUGCAACCUGUACCUCCCAAUCGGCAAAAUCCUGAGUCCCCAUCAUACAGGGCUGGUACCAGAUGUGCUUACCAUUCAGGAGUAGAAGGCCAUGAUACAGAAGACUGUUGGACACUCAAAAGGGCGGUCGAAAGCUUGAUAGAAGAAAAAAGACUUGUGCUAAGGGAUGAAGAGAUCACUAAUGUGACUAACAAUCCAUUACCGGCUCACAAUAAUGGGUCAGUCAUUGGAAUGAUUAGUGAUGACAAAAAGUUUGAUCCAGCAUUGAAGGCUAUUGUUGCCAUCGCCAAUUCAGAGGCAAGACCUAAAGCGGCGGUGAAAUUGGCCAAAACCGAAAAGAAAGUUGCUCCGGUUCCUCAAGCUGUUGAAACAAAGACUGGGCGAGCACCUGCCAAAAACGUGGUUCUCUAUGUUCCUAAGGCCCCGAGAAAAGAACAACUUAUCCUCAACACUCCUAAGAAAUUCGAUGAAAGGAAGGCGACAUUGAGUGUGCCAAGAUUGUAUGUGCCAAAGGGGACCUAUGUGGCGCGUGGGCCAGUAAUUUCACCAAGGCUGACUGAGCCAGUGGUUAUCAGCCUCGCACCACAGAGCCCUAUGAAAUAUCCCACCGCAGUCCCUUGGAACUACAACAGAACCGUGGUUACAUACAAAGGGAAAAAGGUUAUGGGAGAAGUGAAUGAGAUGAAUCAGUCUGGGAAGUACCACACCCCAGAAGAGCUAAAGAAGUCCAAACUAAACAGGGAUAAACAGAUGCCGUCCAAGAAGCCUGUAAGUAAUGAGGAAGUAGAAGAGUUCUUCAGAAAGAUGACAACUUCAGAAUACUCAAUAGUUGACCAACUCCGAAAGACUCCUUCCCAAGUCUCACUCUUAUCUUUAUUGCUGAGUUUGAAUGAACACCAGAAAGUCCUCCUCAAAACACUGAAUGAGGCAUACGUCCCGGUUGAUACUUCUGUCGAACAACUGGAAAGAAUGGCCGAAAGAUUCUUUUAGGUCAAUAGGAUUUCCUUUAGCCGCGAUGAUUUGCCCCCAGAGGGAGCCGCCCACAAUAAAGCCCUCCACUUGACUGUCAAAUAUGAGGGCUAUUAUGUGAAAAGAGUGAUGUUAGAUGGUGGGUCCGGGGUCGAUAUUUGUCCUCUCUCAACACUCUAGAGAAUGGAGAUUGGAAUAGAAAGAAUCCGAGCUAACAAUGUCUGUGUACGAGCUUUUGAUGGUGUCAAGAGAGACAAUAGGAGAAAUUGAUCUAAUUCUGACCAUUGGCCCCGUAGAUUUUGAGGUGACCUUCCAGGUGUUGGACAUGGAAACCUCAUACAAUUUCCUCCUGGGUAGACCAUGGAUCCAUGCUGCUGGAGCCGUUCCCUGCGCUCUUCACCAAAUGGUCAAGGUUGAAUAUGAAAAUCAAGAGAUUGUUGUCCAUGGAGAAGAUGAGCAAUCCAUCUACCGGGACCCUUCAAUCCCGUGUCUUGAAGCUAGGGAAGGCAACGAGCAUAUUGUAUACCAAGCUUUCGAAAUUGUGGUCGCCGACCAAUUUGAAGAAGGGGCCCCAUUACGUCAACCUUGCUUGUCUAAUGCUUUGGUCAUGGUCGCCACCCAAAUGAUUUGAAAUGGGUACAAGCCCGGAAAGGGGCUCGGGGUAUCUUUGCAUGGCAUCACUGAGCCUAUUAUCCCAAUCGCCAAUGAGAAGUGUUUUGGUAUGGGUUUCCGAGCUUCAGAGGCCAACAGAACAUGGGCUAAUAAGUGCAAAUAAAAUGGGUGGGUCCUGUCCCAGCCCAUUCCACAUCUCGCCCAAUCAUUUGUCAAACCAAAGUAUGUGGAAGAAGAAGAAGAGGCCUUCACGACUGAGGAAAUUGAUGAUAUUUGUGAAGCCUUGAAACAAAUGCUAUAUGAGUCCCACAUGGUCCAGCCAGGGGAAGACACGAGCAAUGCCGAGGUGCAGUAUAUGGGGCCGGAUUUCAAGCUCUAGACCUGGGAGGCUACCCCAUUCCCGGUCAGGCAGGAGUGUCGGUAGUUCAGUUUUGCCAUCUCUUCUACAUUACGAGUUAUUUCAGGGUGUAACUCGAAUGUUUUACUGUAUUGUCUUUUAUUCUGAUGUAAACCCUCAUAUCUUCAAUUCAAUGAAAUGAAAUCAAUAUUUCAUCGUCCAUAAAUGUCUCUUUUCUUUUGUUCUGAUUUUGCUAUUUUUCUUAUCUUUUUCUUUUCAGUUCUUAUAAUGCAGACUUAAAUAAGAUGACAUCCUUGCGAACUUCAUGCCCAAAUCCUAAAAUGCUGUCUAACUUUGAAAUAAUGAAUCAAGAGCCAGAAUAUGAUGAAGAUGAGGUUUUUAGGGAAAUAAAUCUAGAAUUGGAAUAAUUUGAGAAUAAGCCUAAGCCAAACUUAAAUGACACCGAGCCAGUUAAUUUGGGCAGUUCAGAAGAGAUCCGAGAAACCAUGAUAAGCAUUCACACUGAUGAAAGAACCAGGGACGCCUUGAUCCAACUUUUGUUUGAAUUCAAAGACGUGUUCGCAUGGUCUUAUGAUGAUAUGCCAAGACUGAGCGUUGAUUUGGCGGUACAUAAAUUGCCUACCUAUCCCGGUUAUCCACCUGUCUAAUAGAAGCAAAGAUAGUUCAAAACAGACAUUAGUGAUAAGAUCAAGGAAGAAGUCACGAAACAACUGAAAGCUAGUGUGAUCCGAGUAGUCAGAUACACCACGUGGCUGGCUAAUGUGGUCCCAGUGGCGAAGAAAGAUGAAAAAAGCCAAGUGUGUGUUGAUUAUCGGGAUUUGAACAAGGCGAGUCCCAAGGACAACUUUCCAUUGCAAAACAUCCACACUCUUGUUGAUAACUGUUCUAAACAUGAGAUACAGUCUUUCGUGGAUUGUUAUGCUGGGUAUCACCAGGUUCUGAUGGAUAAAGAAGAUGCCGAAAAGACUGCUUUCACCAUACCUUGGGGCACUUACUAUUACAAGGUCAUGCCAGUUGGUUUGAAAAAUGCCGGGGCAACCUACAUGAGAGCUAUGACUGCCAUCUUCCAUGACAUGAUGCACUAUGAAAUAGGGGUAUAUGUGGAUGAUGUGUUCAUUAAAUCCAGAACGCAAGAGGACCAUGUGCGAGAUCUGAGGAAGUUCUUUGAGCGACUGUGCAUGUAUGAUUUGAAAUUGAACCCAACUAAAUGUGCAUUCGGGGUUCCGUCUGGGAAACUUAUGGGGUUUAUAGUCAGUCGGAGGGGUAUCGAAUUAGAUACAACAAAAAUUAAGUCUAUUCAGGAUUUGCCCCCUCCAAGGACCAAGAAAGAAGUCAUGAGUCUGCUAGGGAGGCUGGAUUACAUCAGCAGAUUCAUCGCUCAGCUUCCUACCACUUAUGAGCCCAUAUUCAAGCUGUUAAAGAAAGACGCGGCAAUUAAAUGGACUGAUGAGUGUCAAGAAGCUUUUGAUAAAAUCAAAGAAUAUCUGUCAAAUCCGUCAGUGUUGGUUCCACCCGAGCCGGGAAGACCUUUGUUCUUAAAUCUAACAGUCAUGGAGAAUUCUUUUGGCUGUGUCCUGGGGCAACACGAUGUGACCGGAAAGAGAGAACAAGCCAUAUACUAUCUGAGUAAGAAGUUCACCAGUUAUGAAGCCAAAUACAUUUUGUUGGAAAGAACUUGUUGCGCCCUAACUUGGGUCGCCCAAAAGCUCAAACAUUACUUGUUGGAUUAUACAACAUAUCUCAUAACCAGGAUGGAUCCUUUGAAGUAUAUAUUCCAGAAGCCAAUGCCCACUGGAAGGUUAGAUAAUUGGCAGAUCCUUCUCACAGAGUUUAACAUUGUCUAUGUCACCUGCACGACAAUGAAAGCCCAAGCCAUGGCACUUCAUCUAGCUCAGCAUCCGGUCGAUGAUGAAUACCAACCCCUAAGCACUUACUUUUCGGACGAGGAAGUAAACUCAGUUGAAGUAGUUCCAGAGAACACCAAUGCGUGGAAAAUGUUCUUUGAUGGGGCUAUAAAUGCAAAGGGCGUGGGGAUCAGGGCAAUUCUGAUUUCGUCCACAUGUCAACACUAUCUGGCCAAAGCCCGGCUCUGGUUCUUCUGUACAAACAAAACCACUGAAUAUGAAGUUUGCAUCAUGGGCAUGAAUAUGGUAAUUGAUCAGGAUGUGGAGCACCAAUUGUGCGGUCGAUUUGUGGAUCGCAUAAGUGUUAUGCGGUUGCAUAUGCGACCGCAGAUCUUCGUCAGGGCUUCAUUUUUCUAAUUUUAUAACUUGACACCCAUUUCAUUUAUCUAGCCUAAGGGUUUAUUUUUAGGGGAUUACCUGAUGUUUUAGAGAGAGUAGAGAUCUAUUCUAGAGAGAGGAAAGGGAGGGAUAAGGAUUUUACUACUCAACUUGAGUCAAGCCUUGAAAUCUCAUCAAGAGGGACUUGUUAGGGCUUCAAAAAAGCAAGAAUUGCUUCUCCCAAUUAUUCAAUUUCGGAUUUUGGGUAAUAGGGAGUGUGAUUCUUGUAUGAGAGAGUAUUAUUAUACAUGCAUGUACCAACGAUAUGUAUGGGAAGGUUGUUGGGCUCAAAUGGGUAACGAUUGGGUUGUGGGAUGAAGGAAUCUACCAUAAAAGACCCUUGAAAUCAUGAUGCACACCUAGUGUUUGAUCAAAUGCUUAAAUGAGGUGAACCCACAGAUAUCUUCCUAAUUAUGGUUCAAUUUUGUUAUGUUUCUAAAUAAAUUGAGGUUGCUAGAGUUUUCAGAACAUUGUAGUAAUUUAAGGAAGUUCAAAGCAAGGUAUGUUGGCUAAACUCUUCUCUUAGAAUUGAACCCCACAUUACCCUUGUAAGUUCCGAGUUGAUCAUCAUAAAUCAAUUAUUCUGAAUAAGCUUUGUGGCAAAGAUAUAUGUUCAAUGUGUUUCAAAUGCUCUUAUUAUGUUGUGCUAAUAAUUGAGGAUGUGUUCAAAGUAUAGAUUGUGUGUCUUCAUGUUAUAACUCCAAGUCGUGUUUCAAAUGAAAGUUAUUAUGCCAAAUUGUGUAAAGAUUGUGAUUGGGAUUACACCUCCACCCGCAUAUAUAUUGGGGUGAGGCGGGAGGGCCGCUUUGUGUAGGAUUCUGGUAUUGUUGUUACACCACCACCCGCAUACAUUGGGGUGAGUCGGCGUGGCUGCUUUGUGUAGAGUUGUGGUAUUGUGAGUAUACCUCCACUCACAUACAUUGGGGUAAGGCGGCAGGGCCUCUUUGUGUAGUAUUGUGAAUGCACCUCCACCCGCAUACCUUGGGAUGAGGCGGCAAGGACACUCUGUGUAAAGAUAGUUGUAGAGGAUCCCCGACUUGAAAUUUAUAAUGUUAUUGGAAGUUCUUAAUAACAUCUGUUUUGACUUGUAUGCCUAUCUAAGCCCUAUUAUUGUUACCAUGAUUCAUCAUAUUCAUGUUGUAUUUCCAAGUCCUUGAAUAAAUGUUUUGAUUUUUAUACUAGUACUAUUCGACAUGUACUAACGUCCCUUUUUGCCGGGGGUGCUUCAUCUUUAAUGGAUGCAGGUGGUUCCACGGCGGGAGGCAUUUAUAAGUGAUAGAGGUAUACUUUUUUCCAGCUGACUUGGUGAGCCCCACUUCAUUUGGGGUUGUGCAUCUUUUGUUACGCGUGUAUUAUGUUUUGAGGUAUAGCCGGAACCUUGUUGCCGGCACUAACAUUGUAUUCUUUUAUAUCUAUUAGAAGCUCCGUAGACAUAGUGUGGGUUGUGUAUUAGUGUGGGAAAGAUAUACUAAAGAUGUCAUAAUUGUAUCUCAUGCUUCCACUGUAAAACUAUGGUUGUGAAAUGUAUUGCUUUGGAGACUUAUAAAUGAAGUAACUAAUGGUGAUGGAACUAGUGUUCCCUCGUAGUAUUAAUUAAUGAAGAUUAUAUUCUCUUUGUCUAUGGGUGAGUUGGAUAGAAGGAAAUCCAGCAGGUUUGUUCGGUCGAGUUAUCUCGGUUGAGCGCCGGUCGCGCUCCCCGAGGUCGGGGCGUGACAUAAACUAAUUCCAAUUUUUUUUAUUUAGCUAUUUUAUUAAUGAUAGUUGUUUCCUAUUGAAUUGAGAAUCUGCUGGGGAAAUGAAAGCAUGUGGCCUAAGGAAAUCCAUUUUUCAUGAAAUUUAAUGUAACUAGGGCCUGAUCUGUUUGUGAAAAUGCGAAGAGUCCAUGACUCUUCGAGAUACUGGGCCAAGUGGGCUUGAAGCUGUUCAGUGGUUUUUGAAUAUAAUCGACAUGGGCCUGACCAGGGCCCAUGUGAUCAGAACUGGAUCUGUUGUGUAGUCUUGGCCACAAUUUAAUAGCUUAAAUGUCCAUGACUCAAAGCCAUUGGUAAUUAACCUUUCCUUUUCCUCAUUAGCUCUCUUUACGCGACGAUGACUAAUUUAGGCUUUAGACAGUGGAAUAGUUGUUGACUCCAUUAAAAAUAAGGGGGAGGUUUGGAUUUGGAUUAAUAGAGUGUUACAUGGUAAAUCAGCUAUUGGCAGCCCGUUAGCGCAAAAUAAAGUAAUCAUAUUAGCUCAAUGAGGAUCAGCUACAAUCAUGAAAGUAUUUUUAUAAUCCCUAGGUAACAAAAGGUACGAUUACUCUCAAACAGGUGAAUUCUAUAACUCUUGGCCUCACAAUAGUCUCAAAGAUAAGGAAAAUAAUUCAAAUGCGCUAGUUUCUGUAGGCGCGAUUAAUAAAUAAAAUUAUUUGUGACUAUGGGUACGGUUCCCGUGGCAUGGCCAUGAUACGUAAAUCCCAACUCAAGUGCGCGUUCCAUGCGACUUGAUCACAACUUCAAACAAUUAAAAUAAACACGUUGUGAAUCACGGGUACGUUUCACAUGCCAUGAUUUGCGAUGUGUACAAAGUAGCAAGUGCGCGACAUCGCGACUUGUUCAAAUAAAUUCAAUAAUUUUUUAUUAUAAUUAAAAGCGGUAACGCAUAAACGGUUUUAAACAUGUAAUAAUUCAGAUAAUUAAGCCAAAUAUUAAUUGUUAAGUGACCGAGCUAAAACCACAGAACUCGGAAGUGCCUCACACCUUCUCCCGGGUUAACAGAAUUCCUUACCCGGUCUUCUGUGUUCGCGGACCAUAAAUAGAGUCAAUUUCCUCAAUUUGGGAUUUUAAAAUAAAUCGGUGACUUGGGACACCAUAAUAAUUAUUACAAGUGGCGACUCUAAUUAAAUAAAUAAUCCCAUUUCGAAUAAUGUUACUUUAAUGGGAAAAACUCCCUUAUCUUCGAAAAAAGGUGGUAUGACAAUAGGUGAUGCAAUAGACGAGAAACCAUGUACAAAUAGACGGUAAUACCCCGCCAAACCAAGAAAACUCCGGAUAUCCGUAGCCGAGGACGGUCUGGGCUAACUCUGCACUGCUUCAAUCUUCUUCGGAUCUACCUUGAUCCCCUCACUCUAUACUACAUGACCCAAAAAUACCACUGAAUCUAGCCAGAAUUCACACUUUGAAAAUUUUGCAUAUAACUUGUUUUCUCUCAAGGUCUGAAGCACAGUCCUCAGGUGCUGCUCAUGAUCCUCCCGGUUCCAGGAGUACACCAGAAUGUCGUCAAUGAACACAAUGACGAACGAGUCAAGAUAGGGCUAAAAUACACUGCUCAUCAAGUGCAUGAAUGUUGCUUGGGUGUUGGUCAGCCCAAAGACAUCACAAGGAACUCGUAAUGUCCAUACCGAGUCCUGAAGGCAGUCUUCGGGUUAUCUGGCUCCCUUGAUCUUAGAGAACACUCUGGCACCCUGAAGCUGAUCAAAUAGGUCAUCAAUACGUGGCAAUGGAUACUUGUUCUUCACUAUAACCUUGUUCAACUGGCGAUAAUCAAUACAUAUUCGCAUAGAACCAUCCUUCUUCUUGACAAAUAAGACUGGAGCACCCUAAGGUGACACACUGGGCCGAAUGAAACCCUUAUCAACCAACUCCUGCAACUGUUCCUUUAACUCUUUCAACUCCGCUGAGGCCAUAUGAUAGGUUGGAAUAGAAAUGGACUGAGUGCCCAGUAACAAAUCAAUACCAAAGUCGAUAUCUCUGUUACGCGGCAUGCUCGGAAGAUCCGUCAGGAAUGCAUCUGGAUAAUCCCUCUCUACCGGAACUGACUCGACGGUAGGAGUAUCAAAACUGACAUCUCUCACAUAUGCCAGAUACGCAUCACACCCCUUCUCAACCAUCCGAUGAGCCGUUAGAAAUGAAAUAACCAUGCUAGAAACAUAAUCUAAAGCACCUCUCCACUCUAACUGCGGUAGACAUGACAUAGACAACGUCAUCGUCUUGGCAUGAUAAUCAAGAAUACCAUGAUAUGGCGACAACCAGUCCAUGCCCAAAAUAAAAUCAAAAUCCACCAUACAAAGCAACAAUAAAUUGGCUUUGGUCUAAAAACCACUAAGAACAACCAAGUACAACACACAAUCAAUAACAAUAGAAUCUCCCACAGGUGUAGACACAUAGACAGGAGAACUCAAAGAAUCACGGGAUAUACCCAAAUACGGAGCAAAAUAAGACGACACAUAGGAAUAAGUGGAGCCUGGAUCAAAUAAGACUGAUGCAUCUCUAUGACAGACCGGAACAAGGCCUGUGAUGACAGAGUUAGAUGCAACUGCCUCCGUCCUAGUAGGAAGAGCAUAUUAUCUGGCCUGGCCUCCUCUUCUAGGGCGACCUUUACCUGCUCGACCUCCACAUCUAGCUGGCUGUGCAGGUGGGUUAGUAGUUGGUGCGGCGACCAUGGAUUGCGAAGCCUGAGGACCCAGUGGAAUACACGGAGCCUGGGUAGUCUGUGGAGGUGCACCCCUCCUGAAUCUGGGGAAAUCCCAUACCAUAUGACGAGUGUCACCACACUUAAAACAAGCUCUCAGAGGACGUGGCUGGCUCGGGCAUGAUCGGCUAGACUGACCUCUAAAAGCACCUCGUGCAAGAGGUGCACUAGAUCAUGGCGGUGCAUAAUAGGGAGCCUGAGGCCUAGGAGUGGCCAGAAUACUGCUGGAAGCUGGAAGGGAUGAAUGAACAGGGUGACUCACAUAGCCCCUACCAUGACGAGUUGCAGCUGGGGCACGAGUACCACUAUAUGUGCCAGACUCUCGAGACCUCUUGGCCUCCCUGUCCUCUCUCUCCCGAGUCAACAUACUCCGAAAUCUCCUAGCUAUCCCCACUACAUGAUGGUAUGUGAUGUCCAUCUCCAACUCUCGGGCCAUGCUAAAUCUAAUAUUGGUGUUGAGCCCCUCGAUAAAUUGAUGGACCCGCUCUCUAACAGUAGCAACAAAAGCUGGUGCAUGCCUAGCUAAAUCAUUGAACCGGACCGUAUACUCCGACACAGUCAUAGAACCCUAGCAUAACUGCUUAAACUCUGCGCGCCAUGCAUAUCUAAGACUCUGGGAACACACUCCCUUAAGAACAUGUCCGAGAAUUGAAUCCAAGUGAGUGAAGCUACCUCGGCCGAACUACCCAACUCAUAUGCUCGCCACCACUGAUAAGUCGCUCCCCUAAGCUGGAACGUAGUGAAAGCAACCUCACUAGACUCCCCAAUACCCAUAGUACAGAGAAUACGGUGGCACUCCUCAAGAAAACCCUGGGCAUUCUCUGACGCCAAGCCAAUGAAAGUAGGAGGUUGCUACUUCUUGUACCUCUCUAGCCUGAUGUGCUCCUCCUCAAACGCUGCAGCCCUAACCUCGGGCUGAACUGGGGCUACCGGCUACACUAGUAUGACCUCUGGGACCUGGUCAACCUGGACCCGCUGCUCUGGGGUAUGGGCGAUGGGAGUCUGUACUCCUCCCCCGGCCUUAGAUGUAGCAGGAGCAAGUGGGAUCAACCCUGCCUGAGCUAAAGUGCCGAACAUGCUCAGAAACUGGGCGAGAGACUCCUAGAGAGCUGGUGCAGUAACAGGCAUCUCAGGUGUCUGCCCUCCAACUGGAACUACUGGUGGCUUCUCUGUAGCAGCUCGUGUGGGUGCUCUCGCCGCACCACGUGAACGUCCUGGGCUUCUACCCUGGCCCCCGCCCCAGCCUCUCGCGGCUCUAGUAGGGAGCGCGGGUGUUUGGUCAUCUGAUCCAGCUGUACGUGUCCUAACCAUCUGUAAGAGAAUAGAAAGAUAGAAAUUUAGAAUUCGAAGUUAAAGAUUUUGCACGAUAAGGAAUCAAAGAAGUGAAGCUUUUUCUAACAGUUCCAUGGCCUCACGAAGAUAAGUACAGACGUCUCCGUACCGAUCCACGAGACUCUACUAAACCUGCUUGUGACUCAUAACACCUAUGAACUUAGAGCUCUGAUACAAACUUGUCACGACCCCAAAUCCCCUCCGUAGGAUGUCGUGAUGACACCUAGUCUCUAAGACUAGGUAAACCUAACAAUAUGCGGAAACAUUGAAUAAAAACUUAAAAUUUCAAAACUUCAACAAUUUCACCAAUAUACUAUACGCUCAAUACGUACAAUUUCCCAAAACCCGGUGAGAUAUAAGUCACAAGUUCUAGAUACAAUGCUGAAAAAUUUUAUACAUCAUUGUCUACUAAAAUAUAAAGAAAAAAUAAAAGAACAGGAUAGAAGGGGACUCCGAGACCUACGGACGCGGGCAGGUGUACCUUGAAAUCUCCAGAGCAGCAACACAUCGCACUAAUAUCGAGGCUGAUAGGAUGUACCUGGAUCUGCACAAAAAUAUGUGCAUAAGCGUAGUAUGAGUAUACCACAACGAUACCUAGUAAGUGCCAAGCCUAACCCCGAUAGAGUAAUGACGAGGUCAGGUCAAGGCCCUAUUGGUAAAAAUAAGAACAAGGCGGAAAAUAUAAUGAUAUAAUAAAAAUGACAGGGAAGUGAACAAUGAAGAAUUUACAGAAAAUAACAACACGGAAUCAAGAAAAGCUAAUACAACAUGAAAGAAAAACAAGAAUUUUACAUGUUAGGGAAAACAAGAACCAAACAAUACAGCAUAUAAAGAAUAUCAACAGGGCACUCCCGAGGUCCGCCUCGUAGUCCCAAAUCGUAAAAACAAAUCAUAGUCUUUCCUUAUAUCACCGCGGGAGCCUUUAUAUUUUAUUUUUGAAAAUUAUUUUUCCGAAAUAACAUACCGCGUUUUAGCCGACUUUAUCACACCGCAUGGCUUCUAGUAGUUCCCCUACUAGCCAUGCGUAUCAAGCCCACCUUAUCUCACCGCUUGUGAUUCGACACCCAAACCUUAUACCAUUGCAUGUGUAUCAAUAAUCACAACGACACGGCAAAAACCUCGUACAACAAUAAAAACUGCACAGCGGAAACCUCGUGCAAACAAUAACAACCGCACGGCAAAAACCUCGUGUAACAAUCACAACCGAACAUCAACAAUAACACAAAAGCCAAAACACAACAACUAAAUAAAUGAUGUUUCAAGGAUAGCAAUUACAAGUAAAGAAUUUCCACAGUUAAGUAAUGAAUAUGAAAAUCAAGAAAAAUAAGUAAUUCAACUAAACAUGUGAUACACGUUGCAAAUAGGAGAUAAGACAAGUAGACAUGUGAAAUUAGGCUAAACAUGAUGACUGUAACGUGCUAAAGUAACUCAAUUAAGGCAUGAAAAGGAUACUACGUAGGAAAGACCGGAAUUUUAAUAUUUAGCCCGUGUACGCACUCGUCACCUUGCAUACACGACCUUCACAUAUCACAAAUUAUCACCAAAAUACCAAAUCCUAAGGGAAAUUUCCCUCACAUAAGGUUAGACAAGUCACUUACCUCAAACCACACUCAAUCAAUCAAUUAGAAGGCCUUUCACUCGAUUUUCUAACUCCGAACAGCUCGAAUCUAGCCAAAAUAAUUUCAUACUAUAAAUAUAACUAUAGGAAACUAAUUUAAGUAAUUAAAUAAUAAUUUUAGCAAAGAAUUGAAAAAUCGCUCCAGAAAGUCGACCGGACCCACGUCUCAGAACCCAACCAAAAUUAUAAAAUGCGAACACUCAUUCGAUAUCGAGUCCAACAAUACAAGAAUUAUCUAAAUCCGGCCUAAUUUAGCCCUUCAAAACCCAAAAACUUGGUCUAAGAACUUUUACACUUUUUUCCCAACUUUUCCACCCCAAAUCUCUAAUUACAUGAUGAAAUCAAUGAUAGAUUAGUGGAAUUUAAUUAAAAACUAGUUAAGAAUCCUUACCCCAACACUUCCUUUAAAAAUCUCUCAAAAUCUCACCUUAAUCCGAGCUGUGAAAGUCCAAAAGUGAAACAAGAGAAUGAACCCUCGUUUUGAAAUUUAAGUCUGCUGCCUAGUUGUUUACACAAUGCGAUCGCGUAAAUCCUCUCACGAUCGCGUAAGACAAAUUUUUGUCCAGCACAACUUAACCCUUCGCGAUCGCGCAAAGGCACUCUCGAACGCGGAUAAAAACACUGCCACAACAUUGUGCUCGCAUCACAGGCUACGCGAUCGCUUAGCACAACUGCCUCAUGCCCCAGGUUCGCCAAUUCUUCUGUGCGAACGCGAACUCCUCCACGCGUUCGCGAUUAACUGCAAGCCAAACCUCUGCGAUCCCAUCCUUAUCUCCGCGAACGCGUAGAGUAAAAACCUUCAAACCAUUAUAACCCCUUCAUGAUCGCAGUUCAAACCACACGAUCGCAUAGAAAGAAACCAGAAGCACCAGAUUCAGCAAUCCUAAAUGUUCUGAAAUGCGUCGAACAUGGUCCGAAUUACACCUGAGGCCCCGGGGACCUCAACCAAAUAUACUAACAAGUCAUAAAAUAUUACACAAAUAUGCUCGAACCGUCAAAUCACAUCAAAUAAUGCUAAAAUUAUGAAUCGCACCCCAAUUCAAGCCUAAUGAACUUAUAAACUUUUAACUUCUACAUUCGAUGCCGAACCUUAUCAAAUCAAGUCCGAUUGACCUGAAAUUUCACACACAAGUCAUAAUUGAUAUUACAGACUUAUUCCAACUUCCGGAAUCGAAAUAUGACCCCGAUAUCAAAAGUUCACUCCCGGUCAAACUUCCCAAAAUUCCACCAAUUUCAAACAUUCGCCAAUUAAUGCUGAAAUGAUCUACGGACCUCCAAAUCAACAUUCGGAUAUGCUCAUAAGACCAAAAUCACCCUAUGAAGCUAUUGGAACUGUCAACACUCCAUUCCGGAGUCGUCUUCGCACAAGUCAAACUACGGUCAACUCCUACGACUUAAACUUCCAAUUUAGUGAUUAUGUGUCUCAUUUCACUCCGAAACUCUCCCGAACCCGACACCAAGUGCCCCGGCAAGUCACAUAACUAUAAAAUAAAAUAGAGAAAGCAAUAAUUAGGGAAUCAGUACUAAUACUCUCCAAACGACCGGCCAAGUCAUUACACUUGCUAUAUUGUAUGCUAAAUAAUUAUUUCGAAGUGUGUAUGGGUUGUUGAAUAUAUCUUAUGACGUGGUUAAUUAAUUUGGGACUUGUGUAUACCUAACUAAUUAAAUUGGUCAUGUCCAUAAAAAUAAAAACAUGUCAUCUUCUUUCAAAUAAUAAAACAAAUAAUCUGGUCUUUGUCUUAAAAUCAUAUGAUCACCUUUUUGAACUACUUUAUAAGAAGAUUAUUCUUUAAUUGACACACUUUGGAUAUAUAUAAUUGUAAAGAAAGUGUCAUGGAAUUAUUGUACUUUCGUUGAGAGACUUAGGCGUUGUAGUCAUUUGGGUUUCGUUUGAAUAAGUUGCGUUGCAAGACCAUGACUCUAAAGGUGACAUUUGGUUAUUCAUUGAAGUGACAACUCAUUUUGAUGCGAUGAUUUUCUAUAUCAUAAACGUGUUGGCAUAUUUUUUAUAUACCACAUUCAUUUUUUAUUUAUCAAAUUCAUUCUUUGCCUUAUUUGUUGUAGACUAAAGUUGUUCAAAUAUUGUUCAUUUCUACCUUGUCCGAAUCAUUUAUAGUGAAUUUCUAUUUUUUAUAUUUAGCUUUUCGCUCAAAUGGUUAGUCUUUUGUACAUAAAUUAAAUUCUUUUAAAGUGUAUUCUCUAAUUUAUAUUCAUCUGAUCAACUCUCAAAUAUUUCAUUCAUCACUACAUGUUAUCUUACAUUUUUUCUUUCUUUAACAACCUCUUAUAGUUAUUUAUUCAUAUUAAACAAAAUUCUUUCAUAUUCCAUUCAUUAAAUUAAAGUGCAAGAUAUAGUGUUCGUACAUCCUUUAAUCUUGUCUUGAAUUGUUGAUUAUCCUUUUUUAUUAAUUUUGUGCUUUAGUCAAAUCAUAUAUUGUUCCUUUCUUACAAAACCUAUUCUUUAAAAAAAUACCAAAUUCUUCUCUUUGUGUCUGGUGCACCAAUUUACAAAAAAUAUAAACUAUUUCAUAUAUUUUGUUCAUUUACUUUUACUACAAGUGCACGUAAAUAUAAAUAUUUUAUUAUUCGCUUGUCUAAAUUAAUUGUCCUUUCUUUAAUGUAUUUUUGUGAAAAUAUUAAGUUAAUUCCUUUCUUACCCUAUUCAUUACAUAAAAAAUAUUCAAAAUAAUUCUCUCCUCCUCUUAGCCAAUCACUUUAAAGGUAAGUUUUCUUUUUCUUACACUUUAGCCUCUCACUCAAUUUACCCUUAGACAUAACAUGCAUUCUUUAAGUGCAAUUUCUUUCAUAUUAUUCGACUUAUACUGAAAUACCAUUCUUUAAUAUCCUUUUUAUACCUUCACAUACUACAUAUUAUUGCAUAUAUAUAUUUUGUCAAAUAUUUUACUAUUCUUUAUCUAGAACUCACUUUGCACUCAACUUAUCUUUUGAAAUACGAUUCCCUUGUCUACUUUACUUAUAUUUCAUACGAGUCAAUAUAUUUUAAUCAUUUUAUUUCAAAAAUACCAAAACUAUUUGCACACUUCAUCCGCACAUAAUUCAUUCCAUAUUUAAUAUCAUCACUAUUCAUUCUAAUAGACAUUGACCAUUCUUUUAUCCUUUGUAAAAGUUGUGAGUAUUUGUUAAUCAUUUUUUGAACUUUCCCUCCCUUAUUUGCCGAGUCCGCAGGAACCACUUUUUUGUGGAUCUUGAGGGAUGUCUAACACCUUUCCCUCGAGAUAACUUGAACCCUUACAUAGAAUCUCAACGGUUUUGCAGACCAUAAUCAAAUGUACAUUAUAUAGUGUAAUAUAGGUGUCCUAGUAGUGGCGACUCUAAACUUUAAUUAAUCCUGUAGAGUACUAUAAGUUGUAGUUUGUUUGGUCUUAUGCAAAAUAGGGUGCAACAAUGGUGAGUGCAGUUCUGAUCCGAAAGAGGAAGGUACGCAAUUUCUUAUUUAUUAUGUUAGUAAUAUUUUAUCGGGAGCGAAGACACGCUAUCCGCACCUCGAAAAGUUGGCCCUAGCUCUCGUAGUCGCCUCUCGAAAGCUUAGGAAUUAUUUUCAUUGUCAUCCCAUAGCUGUCGUGAUGACUUUUCCCUUGAGGAAAGUCCUUCAUAAGCCUGAACUAUUGGGUCGAUUGGCUGAAUGGGCAGUCGAAGUAGUGAAUUCGACAUUGAAUAUAAACUCAGGACUGCAAUCAAGUCACAAGUUUUUUCCGACUUUAUGGUUGAUUUUAGUCCCGGUAUGAUGCCUUUAGCUUCUAAGGAAGCGGUUUUAUUAUCAAAAAUUGUUUCUUGUGUAUAGACAUUGUUUAGAGAUGGGUCCUCCAACGUAAAAGGAUCCAUUCUCGGGAUAGAGUUAAUCACUCUGUCGGGAGAGACCCUGAGACAAGACUUUAGAACUGUACCUUUGACUAACAUUGAAGCCGAGUAUGAGGCUUUGGUUGCAGGACUUGAAUUAGCCGGGGGACUAGGCUCCGAGGCGAUUGAAGUAAAAUGCAAUUUCCAGCUGGUAGUAAACCCGGUAUACAAAAUCUUUGAUGCCAAAGAAGAUCGCAUGCAACAAUACUUGAAUAAGGUACAAGUUCUGAUUUCCUGGUUCAAGGAAUGGUCGGUUAUUCAUAUCCCAAGGGAAAAGAACAUAGAGGCGGACGCAUUGGUCAAUUUAGGAUCAUCUACGGAAAUGAAAGGAGUUGAUUCUGGUGUAGUUGUUCAGCUACUGCAUUCGUUACUAGACGUGAAUAGGUAUUGCGAAGUUAACUUAACUAACCUUAUUUGGGAUUGAAGAAAUAAAUUUAUAGAGUAUCUAAGGCAUGGAAAAUUGCCUGAAGAUCCUAAAGCUUCCCCGGCGCUACAAACUAAAGUUGCUCGCUAUUGUUUGUUGACGGUUAAUUAUACUGAAGGUCAUUUCAAGGACUAUUGGCUCAAUGUUUAGGGACACCGAAAACUCGCUAUGUGAUGAUAGAAGUUCAUGAGAAGUGUGCAUAAAUCAUUCUGGUGCGGACUCGUUUGUUCUCAAAUUGAUAAGGGAUGGCUACUAUUGGCCCCGAAUGGAACAAGACACGAAGGCAUUUGUACAAAAAUAUAAUAAGUGUCAGCGUCAUACGUAGUUAGUGCAUCAACCGACAGAGUGUUUUCAUUUGGUGGUAUUGCCGUGGCCAUUAAUGAAAUGGGUAAUAGACAUAGUUGGUCCCUUACCACAAGGGCUUGGGCAGGUAAAAUUUCUUUUGGUUUUAAUGGAUUAUUUCACUAAAUGGGUUGAAAACGUGCUUACAAGAAGAUUGGAGAGCGAGAAGUGAUUGAUUUCUUAAGGAAUCACAUAAUUUGUCAUUUUGGAGUACCAAAAGAAAUUGCUUGUGACAAUGGGACACAAUUUAUAGGUUCCAAAGUCACAAAGUUUUUGGAAGGACUGAAGAUCAAAAGGAUUACAUUUUCUCCAUACCGUCCAAGUGUUAACGGACAAGUGGAGUCGACCAACAAGGUUAUAAUUCAAAACCUCAAAAAGAAAUUAGAGGAUGAAAAAAGUAGUUGGCCAGAAGAGCUUCCAGGAGUACUAUGGGCAUAUCGAACAACAGUGAAGUCCAGCACGGGAGAAACACAAUUUUUGCUUGUGUACUAUGCGGAAGCUUUGAUCCCGGUGGAGAUUGGGGAACCGACUAUAAGGUAUUCCCAAGCAAACGAGGAGGCAAAUGAUGAAGCAAUGUUGAUUAAGUUGGAUUUGCUCGAAGAACAUCGAAAUUUAGCGUAUGUGACGAUGGUAGCACAAAAGCAAAGAAUGGAAAAGAUAUUACAACCGCAGAGCAAAUCUUCGAUAUUUCAAAGUCGAAGAUUUGGUUUUGAGAAAGGUAACUCAAAGUACUCGAGAGGUUAAUGUCGGGAAGCUAGGACCAACGUGGGAAAGACCUUAUAGAGUUUCAACUAUAACCGGUAAAUGUUCAAAUCAUAUGGAAAAUCAAGAUGGAGCUAAAUUGCCAAGCAAUUGGAACGUGACUCACCUCAAAGGUAUUAUUGCAGAAGAUCAUUACUGAUACUAAAAGUAUGUGCUACACUUUUUUCCCUUCGUUCAAUUUUUGUCCCAAUUGGCUUUUUCUAGCAAGGUUUUUAAUAAGGCAGCAAUUUAUGAUACUACGAAAAAAUGGUCAUCGGCAAUAGCAAGAACUCCAUUGUUCGAAAUCUCAUACUUAGCAUCCAAACACUUGGAGGGAACUAUUGUUUAUUAGAGCACUAAAAGUGUCAUAAAGACCGGGGACUGUUGGAACCGGGAGUUAUAUUUUAUCAGGACUGGGGACUGCACAAUCAACCCCAUAGAAAUAAGUUUUACAAGUUAGCCUCAUAUAUUGGCAGCUACAUUUAAUUAAGCAAAUGAUGUUUAUGUAAAGGAAAAAUAUAUAAACGGCACCUUUAAGUUGUCCCCGACAAUCAGUUGGACACCUUAAUUGAUCCUAUAUUCAGCUAGACACUUCAUUAAUUCAUAAAAGUGUGUCUUUUAAACACUCAAGUCCAAUAAACCGCAUGCGUGAGUUACAAUCGCGGGUGACGUGUGUCACGACCCAAACCGUAGCGCCGCAACGGGCACCUGAUACCUAACUCAACCGAGUACCAACGUAACGUAUCCUUCUUAUCAUACUAUCAUGGGUAAAUGAACCAGAAAGGCCGUCAUGAGAUAACUAGAAUUAAACAUAAAAGAAUACUCGACAUGGGAUGACCCAACAUGAUAUAGAAGCUUAUGCAUGCGACAUACGGGCCUAUAAGGCCGACAUGAUCAUUUGUAUUCUCAAAACAUAGGCCAUAAAAGCCUUACAAGUAACCAUAUACAUGACAUCUGUCUACAAGCCUCUACGAGUACCUAAAUGUCAUAAAGUUCGAGAUAUGGCCCCGCCAUACCAAUCAAUACAUGUCCAAAUCAUACUGACCAGAUAGGAAACUCCGAAGCAAGUGGAGUGCACCAACACCUUCCGCUGAGCUGAUAGCCUACUAGGAGGACUCUCAACCUAUCUAUCGGGACCUGCGGGUAUGAAACGUAGCGUCCCCGGGCAAAAGGGACGUCAGUACAAAUAAAGUACCGAGUAUGUAAGGCAUGAAAGCAGUAUAUAAAAGACAUGAAAGAAACGUGGAGUAAAGAACUUAACCUGUAAGUCUGAAUAGCUCUGUGAAUCAUGAAACAUUUAUAAUAUCAUGCAUAUGCGUAUAAAUAUCACACCAUGCAUAGGUAUGUGCAUACAUAACAUCAUUAAGCCUCUGAGGGCAUCCCAUCAUAUUAUCUCGGCUUCUGUGGGCGAAAUCAUCAUCGUAGACCAGCUGAUCAGGUAGUGGUGCGUAUAUAACGCCAUAACCUUUCCCCAUACCCCAUAUACAUUUACUAUAUGCGUAUAUAAUGCCAUCUGGCCAUGGGUCAAUAUACAUGUAUAAAUGAAUGCAAUGCAUAAUAAAGUAAGUCAGUAAGAUUUUUCGGAAUGUCAUAAGAUCAAUAUGCCUUCGGAUAAACAUUAGCAACUUACGUAUUUUUCUGAUACCCAUGAACAAAAGAUAUAAUAAUAGGACACAUGGGGAAUCAAGAACAUAUGCACGCCUAGCACUUCUAUGAAUAGAGUCAUUUAUGAAAGUUCCGCGUUUGCACGUUUCGUUUGUAUUAUAUGGAUGAUGCCAAAAGAAAAAAAUGGAUAGACUUAACAUACCUUAACUCCAUUGAGUCCUUAAUACCUUCCAAGUAAUUCUUCAAACAACUCAAGUCAAUCUACCAUAGCAUAAGGAGAUUCAAAAUCAGUAUUGAGUAAAGGCUAAGUUCGUAACUUAAACUAGUAGCUCAUUUAUGUAAAUUUGGGCAGCAUCUACCCUGUAACAAGAGCCUCCUCCAAUACCAUAUACCAACAACAAUGACCAGAGAAAUCCAUCAAUACAUAAUUAUCAAUAACUAGACACCAUAUAACAACAACAAGUCACAACUACUUCACGAUGAGCUACAAGCCCAAUUGAAAUAUGUANNNNNNNNNNNNNNNNNNNNNAACUUUAUUCACUAGUUCAUGUCUAGUCCAUCCAUUUAACUUAAUCAAUGUCAAGAUAACCUUAAGCACAUGCAAGAACACAAUAUACAUACCUCCUAAAGUAGCUUCAAAUCGAAAUUCAAGUUAUAUUUAGCUUACAACAGCCAUCAAUGGCAAUACAACACCAUAGAAGUGACUUAAGCUAAUCUUCACUUCCAACCUCAAGUUUCAUAUGCUUCCUUCACCAAUUCACUUGAUAAACAUAUAGACAUGCAUAAAAAUAGAAACCAUAUAAUAAUCAAGUUAUUUUCCCCAUUUUCCAUCCAUUUAUAGUUCAUGGAAACAACCUUUCCAAAACAGUCCAUUAAAACCCAUAACAUCUCAAACUAUUUUAGGUCUCCUCUUGUAGUAUUUUGCUCAAAUAAUGCAACCAACACACAAAAAACCUCAAGUACAUGUAGUAGGAUUUUAUACUCACCUUAAACAGUAGAAACAACAUUAAAUUUCAGCCAAGCACAGCCCACAACUAUCCUCAAUAACACCAUAACAUUAUAGGUGUUGUAUUCUCUUCUUGAAUCAACUUUUGGUGUUCAAGUUGGUGUGUAAACACUGGUAGUUCGCCUUUAAAAUAUAAUAUAUAUGAAAGAGGGACUGAUUAUUACCUUAGUAAACAAGAACAGCAUGAAAUAUUAGGUUACUUACCUUUGAAGAACCCUCCAAAACAGCCACAAGAUGAAGAACUAUUAUCUAGCAAGCACCACGGGAUUUCUAGCAUUGGAUUCAUGUUUUCAUCUUAGGUUCUCACCCUAGAAUCAUGGAGGAACCAUUGGAGAGCAUUUAAGAGGAUUUAGAAACGGUUUUGGACCAGAAAAAUGAGUUAAAACCACGGAGAAUUGACUUUAAUACAAGCUGGAAUUUUUUCCUGACUUUUUGGGUCCCAUGGGUGCUGCUUGCGUAGUCUCGCAAAAACGUGAAUAUCUCUCUACUCUGAGAUCAUAUCGAUGAACGGUUAAAUACGUUAGAAACGAGACUCAAAGACCUUAAAUGUGGUAUAUAAUAUGUCCCAAAGAGACAUCAUAAAGCUUACAAAAUGCAUUUCUCAAAAAGCUUCAUUACAAGGCAAAUCCUUAGUCGAUUUUUCCGACACUUAAAACCGAUUUUUCCCAAACUUUAUAUUUCAUAUCCAAACAUCAUAUAUAGUCAUAUCAUAACUUUAAACUCAUUUAAAUCAUGAUUAAUAAGUUUCAUAUUCAUCUUAACUUACUUAAGACUUAGGUAAACCUUUCUUAUCCUUAUAGAAGGAUUUCGUCGUUUUUGAGCUUAUAUUAGAUAAUCCUAUAAUGACAGUGAGGUAUGAAGUACGGGGUGUAACAACAUGUCCCCUUAGAAACAUUUGUCCCCGAAUGAUAACUCUUAAAGGCUUGCAAAAGUGGGACGUAACAUCAUUAAAUCACUUUAUAUACUUUCAAAGAGGAUCUCAUUUUCAAGCUUACAUCAAUUGACUUACAAUGUACUUUCAUGUACAAAAAUAUGGGGUGUAACAUCAUUCUCCCCUUUGGAACAUUUGUCCUUGAAUGUUGACUGAUGCGUUUAUCAUUCUCAUAACCUAUGGCUCUUAUGAAUACUUUAAUAUUGUCCUUUGCUAUCUAGGCAACUGUUCUAUGAAUAAAUACAAAGGCCAAGGCAUUUCCUCCUUUAGGCCUCUUUCGCACACCACGACUUUUGAUCGGAAUUCUUCCAAUCUCUUAACUGUUGCUUCCUUCUGUCAUGCAGCCUGUACGACUUUGUCCUUUUAUGUGCGCCUAUGUGACUCUUCUCUCCUUUUUCGUCCAGCUUUUAGCCAAUCUCUAGGCCUCACUUUGUGAACAUAUACAGAACUAUGACAAGUUGUCCCUCUAGGCAUUUAUAGGUAUACUGAAGUUCUUCGCUUGGUACUUUGUUGAAUGUACCACUGUUGCUAUAUUUUGUUUUCUAGCCUUGGUUAUCUGUUCAUAUGGCUUUAGUGCAUCUAGGUAGGUCAUACCGUACUAUAACACUUACUUUGAUUUAUUAUUACUGAGGUCUGCUACCCAACUUCAGGUUACUCUCUCACUGCAUAUCCCAUAUGUAUAAAUCUAAGUCCUUUAAUGCUUCCUUAUUACUGUUCAUCUAAAGAAUGGCAUCAUAACCUCCUCUUAUACUUUGGAAUUUUUAUCCAUCUAUUGUUGACUCACCUUAAUGUCGAUCUAUAUCUACCACUGAUAACUUGAGACCUCUUACGUAAUACAUUGUCACUAGGGCUCAUGUCUCAUCGGGGAACAUCUGAAGUGAUUUUCCUGAUCCACCUAGGGGUAAUACUAUACUUCAAUAAGUGUAUUUCAUAGCAUCCCGGCGUGAUUCAUCUUAUAUGGGUAUUCUAAUCCCAUACAAUUCAUGAAAUCCUUUUUCUUAAAAUCAUUACUCAUUCAAAAUCCUAAACGUCAUCCUCUUAUCUAUCACCAUUACACCAUUAUUCUACUACCAGGGCAACAUUUCAUCUCUUCUAAUUGCUCAUAUUCUUAGACUCCUCUAGGUUCCUUUAGAUUGUACCGAGCUUUCUAUAACUUAUGGAAAUCAUUAGCUCUCUUGUUUUGAUAGGCUUAAUCUUGAGGCCUUACCUGUUCUCGUUACCUUUUCACUUACCUUUUCAUAACCUUACUCUUGUCGCUCUAUCAUACUUUAGCUUGCGACCUACACAUAUCUAUUCAUACUACUCGCAACUUUCUUUAACUUGCUAGCACCAUAGAUUUCCUUUCGUGCCUUCUCAGUUGCCUUUAAACAUAAGUAAUUACUUUUCCUGGUCGUUCUGCCACUUGUUGCAUGAAUACAUGGCUUAUCUCAUUGCCCAUGAAUACUGGAAUUUCCUUUAACUCAUAUGAUCUCAAAUAUCACCUUUUUGAUUUUUUUCUUCCCGUUCAUUAGCCACGAUGGUGCCACUUUCUUAUAUAGUGUAUACAAUUUUGUAGUGAGACUAUUGUUACAACACCAUUUCCUCUUUAUGUCACUAUGCUUAGGUUGAAGUCUUUUUCCUUAUUUCCCCAGCUAGUCUUUCGGGGUAGUACAUAGUGGAGACCCUCUGACUCAUGUAAAGCUACGAGCUUAUUACAUCGCAUACCCGAAGGAAUCUUUGAUGUUCUUACUCGCCUAUAAUUAUCCUAAGUUACAUACCUCCGUGCCCUUGUGCUCGUAGGGUUGCUUCUGAACUGAACUUUUGAAUGUCUCCCCAGUUGCACUCUCUUUUAUUUCUGGAACACUUAUACAGUACCUUUAACUACCCCAACUCCUCUCUGAAAGUUCUUCAACAAUUACGAUCUCUUAUCUGCGAGACUGGAUUCCCUAUGUGGGGGUUCACUAUGCUUAUCUUGCACGAUCUGUUGAUUUAUUUGUAUCCUUUUUUCUGGCUAUAACUAAGACUCUUCCCGAAUCCACUACAGACUACUCGUUGCUCCAUUCUCAUAGCUAUAUUCUGUGUAACCCCUCUUGGGUUAUGUCCUUUGUCUUAAUUUACCUGUCGUACUGGCUCCUUAUGUAUCGAGUGUUCAUUCCAACUUAUUUAUCAGUAUCGUCUGGUGUGGAACGCUUACUGCCUCUCCCCGACAUCAUGCUUGUAUAAUGUUCUAGAGUUGUAUCAUAUUUGUAGGAUCUGAAUAAAUACAAUCUCAUUCCUUUCACCUUUUCACCGCAUUCUUUCUUUACUAUUCCAUAGUUACCUCUUCAUCUUUGGCAUCUUUUCACAUCUUUACUGACAUCUUUCCCACCUUGCGGUAACCCUUCUAUACCAAGGAUAACUAAAGUUCUUACACACGAGGGUGACACCUAGUGUAACUGGCACACUUAGUCCCUCAAGCUUAACUUUGCUCACAAAGCUCGCUUUAGGGAAGCGUCUUCCUGAAUGACCUUUAAUGGUUAUUCUUCUGUUGUCCAUUCUAUUAUCGCCGGAAUGUGAUCUCUAAAAUUCUCAUGAUGCCGGCUAUUGUCAAAUCAUUCGGUCCUUAAUUCAUAUUCAUUUUAUCUUGUUCACCGGCUCGUACUAAUUUCUAUUACUCCGGGGUCUAACGUUUCCUUCUGGUAAUCACGUUAUUUCUCGAAAGAAGGAUAUGACUUUAUGGAUUAUACUCUUCUAUUGUUUCAAGGCAUGUCUCCUCUUGUAUUUUCCGUCACUUGACCAUAGACUUUGUCAUCGUGUCAUAUUUUGAUUUACCGUUAUCACCCAUAUAUCACAUCUUACUCAUGAUGCUUCAUUUACUCUCUUCUUAUUCUCCAGAUAAUAUUUUUGUCUAUCACUUUAUUCUGAAAACUUCAGCAAAACAUUCUUUCACUUUUAGCUCCCCUUGCUUCAUCUCACUUGCUUAGGAAUGCCUAACAUUCUCCUUUUUACAACUCGGGGCUCGAGUCAUACUAAGGUAAAUAUUUAUCCCUUCUAGGAUUCCACUGCCUAUCUUCUGAAAUUUCUAAACAUUCUAGUAUUCAUAUCUGACUGUACUAUUCUAGAGUUCGCCAUCUGGGUGUCUCACAAGGAGAUCUAUUACCACAUUUGCACUAUCUUCGAAAAUGUUAGCUAAUGAUAAAAAUCCAUCCACCAUUUUUGGGUUACUCUAACCCCAACUGGAUCCUGAUUUCCUAUCUUUCUCUUAAACUAUAUAUGUUGGCUCCCAUAGGGCAUAAUUAAGAUGAGUGUGGCCAAUUGUAUAUAACUCUAUUACUAUUGAAAGUAACUCAUAAUGCUUGUAUUUCUCUGUCUGAAUUGCAAAUACUGAUAAUCUUCAUUAACUAGGUACCGCGUGCCCUUCUUCAUCUUGCUUCUUUUACUUGCCGAAACUUAUAUCUACCUUCUGAUUCUCUUAUUUCUUUUUACCAUAUGGGUGGAUAGAUAUUCUUGCCUUAGGACUCCUUAUCAAGAAGCUUACACAUCUUAGUACACAUAUGAUCUGCUGAAGACCUCACAUUUACUCAUCAUAAGCAUGAUACAAAAUCGAGUUCCUCUGAUUCAACUCUUCCACAGCCACAUUCAAUCCCUUACCAACUGUCUUUCUGGAUGUAAGUAUCGUUGUAUUACAAAUAAAAUAAAAUUUAGGAGUCUGAAUUCUUACAACUGAGCUCUACCACACGAUCUAGAGUAAAAAUAAAGAGUGAUAGUCCUAAAUGCCAUGUAGCCUCCUGCUUAUAAGUGUGGUGCACCAUACACCCAUAAACAAGACUCUACUAGACACGUCUUGUAGACUCCCUAGGACAGAACUGCUCUGAUAGCACUUUUGUCAUGACCCAAACUGUAGUGCCGCGACGGGCACCCGGUGCCUAACUCAACCAAGUACCAACGUAACGUAUCCUUCUUAUCAUACUAUCAUGAGUAAAUGAACCAGAAAGGUCAUCAUGAGAUAACUAGAAUUAAACAUAAGAUAAUACUUAACAUGGGAUGACCCAACAUGAUAUAGACGCUUAUGCAUGCGACAUACCGGCCUAUAAGGCCGACAUGAUCAUUUGUAUACUCAAAAUAUAGGCCGACAAGGCCUUACAAGUAUCCAUAUACAUGACAUCUAUAUACAAGCCUCUACGAGUACAUAAAUGUCAUAAAGUUCGAGAUAUGGCCCUGUCAUACCAAUCAAUACAUGUCCAAAUCAUACUAACCAGAUAGGCAACUCUGGAGCAAGUGGAGUACACCAACACCUUCCACUGAGCUGAUAGCCUACUAGGAGGACUCUCAACCUGUUUAUCGGGACCUGCAGGCAUGAAACGCAGUGUCCCCAGGCAAAAGGGAUGUCAGUACAAAUAAAGUACUCAGUAUGUAAGACAUGAAAGCAGUAUAUAAAAGACAUGGAGUAAAGAACUUAACCUGUAAGUCUGAAUAGCUCUGUGAAUUAUGAAACAUUUAUAAUGUCAUGCAUAUGCAUAAAAAUAUCACAUCAUGCAUAGGUAUGUGCGUACAUAACAUCACUAAGCCUCUAAGGGCAUCUCGUCAUAUCAUCUCAGCCUCUGUGGGCGAAAUCAUCAUCGUAGACCAGCUGAUCAGGUAGUGGUACGUAUAUAACGCCAUAACCUUUCCCCAUACCCCAUAUACAUAUACUAUAUACGAAUAUAACGUCAUCUGGUCAUGGGUUAAUAUAUAUGUAUAAAUGAAUGCAAUGUAUAAUGAAGUAAGACAGUAAGAUUUCUGGGAAUGUCAUAAGAUCAAUAUGCCUUCGGAUAAACUUUAGCAACUUACGUAUUUUUUUUAUACCCAUGAACAGAAGAUAUAAUAAGACACAUGGGGAAUCAAGAACAUAGGCACCCUUAGUACUUCUAUGAAUAGAGUCAUUUAUGAAAGUUCUGCGUUUGCACGUUUCGUUUGUAUCAUAUGGAUCAUUCCAAAAGGAAAGAAUGGAUGGCCUUAACAUACCUUAACUCCAUUGAGUCCUUAAUACCUUCCAAGCUAUUCUUCAAACAACUCAACUCAAUCUACCAUAGCAUAAGGAGAUUCAAUAUCAGUGUUGAGUAAAGGCUAAGUCCGUAACUUAAACUAGUAGCUCGUUUAUGUAAAUUUGGGCAGCAUCUCCCCUGUAACAAGAGCCUCCUCCAAUACCAUAUACCAACAACAAUGACCAGAGAAAUCCAUAAAUAUAUAAUUAUCAAUAACAAGACACCAUAUAACAACAACAAAUCACAACCACUUCACGACGAGCUACAAGAACAAUUGGAAUCCGUAUACCCCAUAUCACCCCUGAUAGACUUCUNNNNNNNNNNNNNNNNNNNNNNUUAACAUGAUAAUGAAGUCAUUCAUCAAUGAUUCCAGCCUUAUAUCAUAUAUUUAUAAUGAAGAAAAUAAUCCACAACUCCAAUUAUCCUCAAUUAGCAACUUUAUUCACUAGGUCAUGUCUAGUCCAUCCAUUUAACUUAAUCAAUGUCAAGAUAACCUUAAGCACAUGAAAUAACACAAUAUACAUACCUCCUACAGUAGCUUCAAUUCGAAAUCCAAGUUAUAUUUAGCUUACAAUAGCCCUCAGUGGCAAUACAACACCAUAGAAGUGACUUAAGUUAAUCUUCACUUCCAACCUCAAGUUUCGUAUGCUUCCUUCACCAAUUCACUUGAUAAACAUAUAGACAUGCAUAAAAAUAGAAACCAUAUAAUAAUCAAGUUAUUUUUCCCAUUUUUCAUACAUUUAUAGUUCAUGGAAAUAACCUUUCCAAAACAGUCCAUUAAAACCCAUAACAUCUCAAACUAUUUCAGGUCUCCUCUUGUAGUAUUUUGCUCAAAUAAUGCAACCAACACACAAAAAACUUCAAGUACAUGUAGUAGGAUUUUAUACUCACCUUAAACAGUAGAAACAACAUUAAAUUUCAGCCAAGCACAGCCCACAACUAUCCUCAAUAACACCAUAACAUUAUAGGUGUUGUAUUCUCUUCUUGAAUCAACUUUUGGUGUUCAAGUUGGUGUGUAAACACUUGUAGUUCGCCUUUAAAAUCUAAUAUAUAUGAAGGAGGGACUGAUUAUUACCUUAAUAAACAAGAAUAACACGAAAUCUGAGGUUACUUACCUAUAAAGAACCCUCCAAAACAGCCACAUGACGAAGAACUACGAUCUGGCAAGCACCACGGGAUUUCUAGCAUUGGAUUCAUGUUUUCAUCUUAGGUUCUCACCCUAGAAUCAUGGAGGAACCAUUGGAGAGCAUUUGGGAACUGUUUUGGACUAGAAAAAGGAGUUAAAACGACGGAGAAGUGACUUUAAUACAAGCUGGAAGUUUUCCCCGACUUUGUGGGUCCCAUGGGUGCGCAGUCUCGCAAAAAUGCGAAUAUCUCUCUACUCCUAUAUCAUAUCAACGAACGGUUAAAUGUGUUAUAAACGAGACUCAAAGACCUUCAAUUUUGUAUAUAAUAUGUCCCAAAAAGAAAAAAAAAAUCUUACGAAAUAUAUUGCUCAAAAAGCUUCAUUACAAGGCAAAUCCUUAGUCGGUUUUUUCGCAACUUAAAUCCGAUUUUCCCAAACUUUAUAUUUCAUAUCCAAACAUCAUACAUCUUCAUAUCAUGACUUUAAACUCAUUUAAAUUAUGAUUAAUAAGUCUCAUAUUCGUCUUAACUUACUUAAGACUUCGGUAAACCUUUCUUAUCCUUGUAGAAGGAUUUCGUCCUUUUUGAGAUUACAUUAGAUAAUCCUAUAAUGACAGUGACGUCUGAAGUAGGGUGUGUAACAAAAUGUCCCCUUAGAAACAUUUUUCCCCAAAUGAUAACUCUUAAAGGCUUGCAAAAAUGGGACGUAACAUCACUAAAUCUCUUUAUAUACUUUCAAAGAGGAUCUCAUUUUCAAGCUUACAUCAAUUGACUUACGACGUACUUUCACGUACAAAAAUAUGGAUUGUAACAACGUGCAAAACAGACCAAUCAUUAAAUAACACAUGGAGUUUUAAAAUAAAUAGUCUUAUUAAAAAACAAAAAAUAAAUCUUCUUCUUUCCAACAGUUGCCGCUGGAUCUCUGCCAACGUGGCUAUCCCAAAACCACCAUGAAACCUCUUUGAGUCACUCUCUCUAGGCACCGUAAAAUAUUGUGUAACGACCCGGUCGGUCGUGUCAUUUUUAGAGUUAUAGCCCCGAUCUCCUAUUAAUUGCUUCUCCCAUAUUGUUUUCUGCUAUUGUGACUUGCCGGGAGGUUUUCUUUUGGUUUUUGGAGUAUUUUGGGAUACUUAGUCCCUAAACGGAUGUUUAAGCCUUAGGAUUUGGACCGUAGUUGGAACUAUGUGAAGACGACUCUGAAAUGGAGUUCUGUUGGUUCCGUUAGCUCUGUUAGGUUAUUUUGGACUUAGGGGCAUGUCCGGAUAGUGUUUUGGAGGUCUGUAGCUCAUUUAGGCUCGAAAUGGCAAAAGUCGAGGUUUUGGAGAUUUUUCCCGGUAGUGGACUUUUUGAUAUCUGGGUAGGAUUCCGAUUCCAGAAGUUGGAGUAGGUCCGUAAGGCUAAUUAUAACUUGUGUGCAAAAUUGGGAUCAGUCAGACGUGGUUUGAUAGGUUUCGGCAUUGGUUGUCGAAUUUGGAAGUUUCAAGUUCUUUAAGUUUGAAUCGGAGGAUAAUUCGUGAUUUUAGCGUUGUUUGAUGUGGUUUGAGGGCUCGUAUAAGUUCGUAUGGUAUUUUAGAACUUGCUGGUAUGUUUGAUUGAGGUCCUGGGGGCCUCGGGUUGAUUUCGGAUGGUUAACGGACCUUUUGAACUUAAGAGAAGAUAGCAGAUUUCUGGUGUUUUUGUUGUAGGCAUUUCUUCAUCGCGUUCGCGAGAGAGGUCUCGCGAUCGCGUAGGGCAUCUGGAGGCCAGCUUGAGUUUGUUCUUCAUGUUUGUGCAAAGGAGCCUGCGUUCACGAAGUUAUGGUCAGUGGAAGCAUCGCGAACACGAAGAGUGGAACGCGUUCGCGUAGAGGAAGUGAGACAGCUGGGGACCCCAGUCAUUUGGUCUACGCGUUCACGUAGUGGGUAUCGCGUUCGCGAAGGACUAGAACGUGAAAGGUACGCGUUCGCGAGAGGUCCCUCGCAUUCGCGAAAGAGGAAAUUUGGUCCGUGGAAUUUUUGUUAUACGCGAACGCGAGAUAGUGGCCGCGUUCGCGAAGAAGGGAACACCUAGGCAGAUUUAAAAGUUCAAAAUCGAGGGUUUAUGUCGUUUUUCACCAUUUGGACUUGAGAGCUCGGAAUUAGGCGAUUCUUGGAUGGAUUUUCACGUGAGUGUUUGGGGUAAGUGAUUCUUACCUAGUUUUGGUUAAUUCCCAUGAUUAUGUCUUUAAUUUUAUCAUUAAAUUAGUGAUUUGGGUUGGAAAAUUUGAGAAAGGUUCUUAGGCCGAAUUUUGGGAUUUUGAUCGAGAUUUUGGUAUCGGAUUUGAGUAAUUUUGGUAUGAGUGAACUCAUGAGUGAAUGGGUGUUCAUAUUUUGUGAUUUUUACCCAAUUCUGAGAUGUGGGCCCGGGGAGGCUUUUUGGGGUGAAUUAAUUUCUUGCUUUAGCUUUGAUUUCAGUACCUAGAUUAGUUCCUUGUAGUUAUAUUUAUGAUAUGUAAUUGAUUUUUGCUAGAUUUGGGCCAUUCGGAGUCGGGUUUUCGUGGAAAGAGCAUUGUUACGGAUUGAUUGAGCUUGGUUUGAGGUAAGUGGCUUGCCUAACCUUGUGUGGAGGAAAUUCCCUUAGGAUUUGGUACUGAUUUUACUAUGUGAGCACCGUGUACACGAGGUGACGAGUGCGUACACGGGCUAUUUGUUGAAAAACCUGAUUUUUACUGAGAAAUUCCCUGUUUCCACCUUAAUUGAAUAUACUAGCAUGCGUAGUUACCCUGUUAGCUUAGAAUAACAUGUCUACGUGCCUUAUUUUCUUAAUUGAACUCUUUGCAUCAUGCCUAUUGAAUUCCUACUUCUUUUCCGACUUGUACUUAGUCUAGACUGUAGAUUCUCUUGUUGUACUUGUCAUUUGUAAUUGAUUGCACUGUGUAUUUACUUUGGGACUAUGGGACGGUAUCCUGGGAGAUCCCCCUGCAUAUUUACUUUUGGGACUACGGGGCGGUAUCCCGGGAGAUCCCCCUGCACAUUUACUUUGAGACUAUGAGGCGGUACCUCGGGAAUUCUCCCUGCAUAUUUACAUUUAGGACUAUGAAACGGUAUCUCGGGAGAUCCCCUGUCGCUUAAUUCCGUGCACUGUUAUGUUAUUUCACUGUGAUUUCCUUUGUUGAACUUUAGUCUCUUAUUAUACUGCUUAUUCUCCUAUAUGUGUUUUAUUAUAUACUAGUGGGCCUGACCUGACCUCGUCACUACUUGACCGAGGUUAGGCUUGGCACUUACUGGGUACCGCUGUGGUGUACUCAUGCCCUUUCCUGCACAUGUUUUUUGUGUGCAGAUCCAGGUUCCUUUUACCAGCCUCGUCCUUAGUUGCAGUCGCUGCUGUUUUUGGAGAACUUCAAGGUACAUCUGCUCGCACCGCAGAUCCUCGGAGUCCCCCUCUAACCCCCCUAUGUUACUUCUUCUCUUAUUUCUAUAGACACUGAUGUAUAGAACAGUUAGAACUUCGUAGAAGCUUGUGACUUAUGGUGUUCCGGGUCUUGGGAGUGUUACGUAUAUUUUGAGAGUUGAUUAUUGAAUAUGCCGAGCGGUAUCUCAAUUUCUUAUUAAAAUAUCUGUUUACUGUAAGUUUGUUAAAUUUUCAUGUUUUUCAUUUCAUUUCCGCAAAUGUUAGGCUUACAUAGUCGUAGAGACUAGGUACGGUCACGACGAUUCAUGGAAGGAGAAUUUAGGUCUUGACAAGUUGGUAUCAGAGCUCUAGGUUCAUAGGUGUCGUGAGUCACAAGUCGGUUUAUUAGAGUCUCGCGGAUCGGUACGGAGACAUAUGUACUUAUCUUCGGGAGGCUAUGUAACUGUUAGGAACAAUCAUACUUCUUUUGAUUCCUUGUCGUGCGAGUCAUUGGCAUCAAAUUCUAAAACUUUUCUAUUCUAUUCUUUCCCACAGAUAGUGAAGACCCGUACCGGAGGAUCUAAUGACCAGGCACCCGCGCCCCCUACUAGAGCCGCUAGAGGCCGAGGCCAGGGUAGAAUACGGCCACACGGUGGAGGGCAGAGGAGCCCCCAGCAGUUCUAGCUGGAGGGCAGGCACCAGAGAUUCCUAUUGCUGCACCAGCCCUCCAGGAGACUCUAGCCCAUUUCAUGAGCAUGUUCAGCACCUUAGCUCAGGCUUGAUUGAUUCCAUUAGCUCCCGCCGCAUCUCAGGCCGGGGGAGGGGCAUAGACUCCUGCAGCCUGCACUCCUGAGCAGAGGGUCCAAGUUGAUCAGGCCCCGAAGUUCAUUCCUAUUCUGCUAGUAGCCCCAGUUCAGCAUGAGACUAGGACAACUGCUUCUGAGGUGAAGCAACUCAGACUUGAAAGGUAUAAGAAGUACCACCCGCCUACCUUCAGCGGAUUGGCUUCAAAUGAUGCUCAGGGUUUUCUGGAGGAGUGUCAUCGUAUUCUCCAUACUCUGGGCGUAGCGGAGACGAGUGGGGUUUCUUUUACCACCUUUCAGCUUAGAGGAGCAGCCUAUCAAUGGUGGCGUGCUUAUGAGUUGAGUAGUCCGGAUGAGGCAGCUUCACUUACAUGGACUCAGUUCUCGGACAUGUUUUUGAGAGAGUAUGUCCCUCUGAGCCUCAGGGACUCAUGGCGCACAGAGUUUGAGCAGCUACGCCAGGGUGCUAUGACUAUUUUAGAGUAUGCAGUCUGCUUCAGUGAUUUGACCCGACAUACACCGGCCUUGGUUGCCACAGUUCGAGAGAGGGUUUGUCGGUUUAUUGAGGGACUCCACCCUAGUAUCAAGAUUAGUAUGGUCAGGGAGCUGGAGAUGGAUAUUCCUUACCAGCAGGUUGUGAGUGUUGCUAGGAGAUUGGAGGGCAUGCUUGCCCGGGAUCGAGAGGAGAGAGAGGCCAAAAGGUCUCGAGAGACUGGUUCUUAUUCUGCAGCUCAUGCCCCAGCAGCUCGCCAUGGUAAGGGUUAUGUGAGUCGCCCCGUUCAUGCAACUCUUCCAGCCGCCAGUGUUGUUCCAGCCCCUUCUAGGCCCCAGGAGCCUUAUUAUGCACCGCCAGUAUUUAGUGUGCCUCCUGCUCGGGGUGCUUUUAGCGGCCAGUCCAGCAGACCUGGACCGAGUCACUCGCAGAAGCCAUGCCCUAUGAGGUGUUGUUUUGAGUAUGGCGACACCUUCCAUAUGGUGAGGGAUUGCCCCAGACUUAGGAGGGUUGCACCUCCACAGACUUCUCAGCCACCACAUUCUCUACCGGGUCCUCAGGCUAUGAUUCUAGCACCAGCUACCACCCCACCUGCUCACCCAGCUCGAGGUGAAGGUCGGGGAGGUCGAGGUCUCCCUAGAUGGGGAGGCCAGGCUAGGCCAGGGAUUAUGCUCUUCCGGCUCGUACAGAAGCAGUUGCUUCUUACUCUGUCAUUACAGGUAUUGUUCCAGUCUGUCAUAGAGAUGCAUCGGUAUUAUUUGACCCAGGCUCUACAUAUUCAUAUGUGUCCUCUUAUUUUGCCCCACAUUUGGGCGUAUCUCGGGAUUCUUUAAGUUCCCCUGUUUAUGUGUCUACUCCUGUGGGAGAUUCUUUUGUUGUGGACUACGUGUAUCGGUCGUGUUUGAUUGCUCUUAGUGGUUUUGAGACCAGAGUCAAUUUAUUAUUACUCAGCAUGGUGGACGUUGAUGUUAUCUUGGGCAUGGACUAGUUGUCUCCCCAUUAUGUUAUUAUUGAUUGUCACACUAAGACCGUGACGCUAGCUAUGCCAGGCUUACUGCGAUUAGAGUGGAGAGUUACCUUAGACUAUACUCCCAAACGAGUCAUUUCAUUUCUUAAAGCUCAACGAAUGGUUAAGAAGGGGUGUGAUGUGUAUCUAGCUUAUGUAAGAGAUGUCAGUAUUGAUACCCCUACAGUUGAGUCAAUUCCAAUAGUCAGUGAUUUCCCAGAUGUGUUUCCAGCUGAUCUUCCGGGCAUGCCGCCCGACAGAGAUAUUGAUUUCGGCAUUGAUUUGUUGUCGGGCACUCAGUUCAUCUCUAUUCCUUCAUACCGUAUGGCUCCUCCUGAGUUGAAGGAGUUGAAGGAGCACUUACAGGAGUUGCUUGAUAAGGGCUUCAUUCGGCCUAGUGUGUUACCUUGGGGUGCUCCGGUCUUGUUUGUAAAGAAGAAGGAUGGUUCUAUGCGUAUGUGUAUUGAUUAUCGCCAGCUGAACAAAGUUACUGUGAAGAAUAGGUAUACAUUGCCUCAUAUUGAUGACUUAUUUGAUCAGUUAUAGGGUGCAAGAGUGUUCUCCAAGACUGACUUACGUUCAGGCUAUCAUCAGUUAAAGAUUCGGGAGCUAGAUGUCCCGAAGACUACUUUCAGGACCCGAUAUGGUCACUAUGAGUUUCUUGUUAUGUCUUUUGGGCUGACCAAUGCCCCAUCAGCCUUUAUGUAUUUGAUGCACAGUGUGUUCCGACCUUAUCUUGACUCUUUCAUCAUUAUGUUUAUUGAUGACAUUCUGGUGUACUCUCGGACUCGGGAGGAUCACGAGCAACACCUGAGGACUGUGCUUCAGACUUUGAGAGAAAAGAAGAUGUAUGCAAAAAUAUUUAAGUGUGAGUUUUUGCUAGACUUAGUGGCAUUCUUGGGUGAUGUAGUAUCGGGUGAUUGGAUCAAGGUGGAUCCGAAGAAGGUGGACACAGUGCAGAGUUGGCCUACACUGUCAUCGGCUACGGAGAUCUAUAGUUUUCUUGGUUUGGCAGGGUAUUACCGUCGCUUUGUAGAGUGAUUCUCAUCUAUUGCAGCACAUAUGACCAGGAUAACCCAGAAAGGUGCUCCGUUCAGGUGGAAAGAGGAGUGUGAGAAGAGCUUUCAGAAGCUCAAGACGACUUUGACUAUAGCCCCAGUAUUAGUAUUGCCUACAGUUUUGGGGUCUUACAAUGUAUAUUGUGAUGCGUCGCGGAUUAGUCUUGGCGCGGUGUUGAUGCAGGAUGGUAGGGUGAUUGCUUACGUGUCCAGACAACUGAAGGUGCAUGAGAAGAACUAUCCUGUCCACGACCUUGAGUUAGCAGCUAUUGUUCAUGCCCUGAAGAUUAGGCGCCACUAUUUGUAUGGUGUUCCAUGUGAGAUUUACACGGAUCAUCAGAGUUUGCAGCAUCUGUUCAAGCUAAAGGAUCUUAAUUUACGUCAGCGGAGGAGGUUGGAUCUACUUAAGGACUAUGAUAUCACCAUUUUGUACCACCCGGGGAAGGCCAAUGUGGUGGCCGAUGCUUUGAGUCACCGGGCGGAGAGUUUGAGGAGUUUAGCAUACCUUCCAGCAGUAGAGUGAUCCUUAGCAUUGGAUGCUCAGGCCUUGGCCAGCCAGUUUGUGAGAUUGGAUAUUUUGAGCCGAGUCGAGUAUUGGCUUGUGUGGUCUCUCGGUCUUCUCUUUAUGAUCGUAUCAGGGGGAGUCAGUAUGAUGACCCCCACCUGCUUGUCCUUAAGGACACGAUGAUGCUAAGGAGGUCACUAUUGGGGAUGAUGGCAUAUUGAGGAUGCAGGGUAGGCUAUGUGUGCCUAAUGUAGAUGGUUUGCGUGAGUUGAUUCUUUAGGAGGCUCAUAGCUCGCGGUACUCUAUUCAUCCGGGUGCCGCAAAGAUGUAUCAGGACUUGAGGCAGCAUUACUGGUGGAGGAGGAUGAAGAGGGACAUAGUGGAGUAUGUGGCUCGGUGCCUAAAUUUCUAGCAGGUGAAGUAUGAGCAUCAGCGGCCGAGUAGGUUGCUCCAGAAGUUAGAGAUUCCGGAGUGGAAAUGGGAGCGUAUCACUAUGGAUUUCGUUGUUGGACUCCCACGGACUCAGCGGAGGUUUGAUGCAGUUAGGGUGAUUGUGGAUAGGCUGACCAAGUCAGCUCAUUUCAUUCCUGUGAUGACUACUUAUUCUUUCAAGCAGCUGGCUCGAAUUUACUUCUGCGAGAUCGUCAGGUUUCAUGGCGUACCGGUAUCUAUCAUCUCUGCCCGGGGUACGUAGUUUACAUCACGAUUCUGGAAGGUUGUAUAGCAGGAGCUGGGUACUCGGGUUGAGUUGAGACAGCAUUUCACCCUCAGACGGACAGAUAGUCCGAGCGCACUAUUCAGAUACUGGAGUAUAUGCUUCGCGCUUGUGUGAUAGAUUUUGGGGGGUGCUUGGGAUCAGUUCUUGCCACUUGCGGAGUUUGCCUACAACAACAAUUAUCAGUCGAGCAUUCAAAUGGCACCGUAUGAGGCUCUUUAUGGUAGGUGGUGUCGGUCUCCAGUGGGUUGGUUCGAGCCAGGCGAGGCCAUAUUAUUGGGUACAGACUUGGUUCAGGAUGCCCUGGAUAAGGUGAAGGUAAUUCAGGAUCGACUUCGCACAGCCCAGUCCAGACAGAAGAGCUAUGCGGACCGGAAGGUUCGCGAUGUUGCAUUCAUGGUUGGAUAGCGGGUCUUGCUCCGGGUUUCACCUAUGAAGGGCGUUAUGAGGUUUGAAAAUAAGGGCAAGCUAAGCCCAUGGUUUAUUGGCCCAUUUGAGGUGUUGCAACAUGUUUGGGAGGUUGCUUAUGAGCUUGCCUCGCCUCCUAGCCUUGCAGAGGUCCAUCCAGUAUUCCAUGUUUCUAUGCUCCGAAAGUAUCACGACGAUCCGACUCAUGUAUUGGAUUUCAGCUCAAUCUAGUUGGACAAGGAUCUAUCUUACGUUGAGGAGCCAGUGGCUAUUUUGGACAGGUAGGUCCGAAAGCUGAGAUCGAAGAAUAUUGCUUCUGUAAAGGUUCAGUGGAGGGGUCAGCCGGCCGAGGAGGCGACUUAGGAGACCGAGCAUGUUAAGCGCAGCCGUUAUCCUUAUCUUUUUACCACUUCAAGUAUGUCUUUAUGCUCGUUCGAGGACGAACAAUUAUUUUAAGAGGGGAAGGAUGUAACGACCCGACCAGUCGUUUUGAGAGUUAUAGCCCUGAUCCCCUAUUAACUACUUCUCCCAUAUCUUUUUCUGGUAUUGUGACUUGCCGGGAGGUUUUGUUUUAGUUUUUGCAGUGUUUUGGGACACUUAGUCCCUAAAGGGAGGUUUAAGCCUUAGGAUUUGGACCGUAGUUGGAACUGUGUGAAGACGACUCCGGAAUGAAGUUCUGUCGAUUCUGUUAGCUCCGUUUUGUGAUUUUGGACUUAGGGGCGUGUCUGGAUAGUGUUUUGGAGGUCUGUAGCUCAUUUAGGCUUAGAAUGUCGAAAGUCGAAGUUUUGGAGAUUUUGACCGGUAGUGAACUUUUGAUAUCGGGGUCGGAUACGGAUUCUAGAAGUUGGAGUAGGUCCGUAAGGUUGAUUAUGACUUGUGUGCAAAA
This 52063-nucleotide long non-coding RNA is filed under the name Nicotiana tabacum (common tobacco). RNAcentral describes it as "long non-coding RNA (NTAB_LNC006196)". The record is from RNAcentral. Lineage: Eukaryota; Viridiplantae; Streptophyta; Magnoliopsida; Solanales; Solanaceae.